Molecule: long non-coding RNA, 84547 nt
Filed under: Gossypium barbadense (sea-island cotton)
Lineage: Eukaryota; Viridiplantae; Streptophyta; Magnoliopsida; Malvales; Malvaceae
Description: long non-coding RNA (GBAR_LNC021312)
Source: RNAcentral
GCCUGUAAACUGCUUGUAAAAUUGCGCAGCCGUCAACGAAGAACAUCCAAGCCAGUUUCUCGUUAUCGUUGCUAUACUUCUCUAAUCCCUUUGGAUCAUAGCAUUUCUUUAAGUCAUCAAUCUCUUUCUUCAUGUUGUUGUACAACGUAUCCUUAUCGACGCCAAUUUUUUUGACGAAAAGUGCUGCUAAUUUGAGCUUGAGCUUCUCGGAUUUCCGGAGGGUGGGAUCAUCGUGGUGGAGUGGGCCGAUUGAGAUCACUUUCGGCUUGAAAUACUUCCUGAAAUCUUGGUGACGACCAAGGGUUGAUGGGACUCUUUGUAUCAAUGGUUUGGCACCGAGGUUGAUUUCGUCGCCGUCGAAAGCUUCGUCUAAUGACCGGAGAUUCGCUACUUCUCCAUCUCUAAGAGGGACGUCCAUAUCAAUGCUCACGGAAUCGUUGUUGUCGGUGAUUGCUUGAUCAGUGGAAACUGCUCCGACGGCGCCGCCUCCUUCCUCCGUGGAGAACAUUUUCAGGCUGAGCGGUUGGAAGUAAUAAAGAAGGUGAUUUUGUAAACUGCUUUUGGGUGAGUGAGUGAUGUUGGAGAAAAGGUGGCAAAGUGGAUACGAUGAUGGGAAAUAUUUUAUAGCUUACACGAUACACAUAUAUAUAUGGGAAAUACUUACACCGUGUUUGGUUUAGUGUAAUAGCUAAUCCAUUACGCCCCGAUUACGUGCCUAUUACAUUACUGAUCUAUUCCGGCGUUUGGUUCGCUGUAAUAGGUAUUACGCGCCUAUUACAAUACCGACCUAAGCCCCAAAUUCUCUGCUUUUCUAUUCCCUUCCCAAAUCCCAGAUUACCUAUUACGUCCGGCUUCCCUUCCCAAGUCUCUGUUUUACCCUCCCUCCCUACCCGAAAUCGACCUCCACCCUCUCCUUUUUCUGUCCUCAUCAUUUCUCCUCCCAUUUCACACUGCUUCAUUUUUUUCUCUCGGAGCACGUUUGGUUUUUGAAUAUUGAGGUAUGAAUCAACGUUUGGUUAAAAUGUUUAUGAUUUACUUGUUUAAAGUUUUCUAGAUCUUUUUCUAUAUCUAUAGUUUCUGCUAGUUCUAUUUCUUUGUUUUUCUUUUUGGUGCUAAAUACUCGCUCGAAUUAUUUUUUGAUUUGGAAUUAGGGUGUUUUCCGAUUAUAAUCUUACUAUUCUGAAAUCUUACUAAUGCUAUAUCGGUUACCCACAAUUUGUUCGUAACGAAAAACAUGGUUGGUAUUUUUUCCAGAUUUUCUGUUGGCAGGUCUGCCCAUCGACGCUCCAAGAGUGCCUUUGUAAGUUUCUAUAGCUUACAUAAAGAGGCGAAUAUAAGGGAAUGUAAAAUUGUUAUUUAGGCCCUUAACUUUAUUAAAAUUUCAAAUUAGUAAAGGUAAAAUUAUACUUUGGCCUCAUAAAAUUAUAAAAAUUCAAUUUAAUCUUUUAAAAAUUAUAAAGAUAUAGACUACAAAAAAUUAAAAUUUCAUUCUAUCCACCCUAAAAAAUUAUUCGGGCUUUGCUGCUACUUACAUAAUAAACAUAUGGAAAAUACUUUUGGUGUAAUUCAAAUUUACCCCUUAUAGUCAAUUUAAUUUUCAUUUUUUUUAAUUUAAUUUUCUAUCUUUUGGAAGAGUCGAACUUAACUAUCAAUUUAAAUUUAUGUUUUUUUAACGAAAAUAGUGACUAAAAUAUUAAAAUGUUAAACAUGACAACUCAAACGGCAAUCCACAUCUAUAUUUUUAUAUUCAUUUCUUAUUUUUUAAAUUAUUUAUUGACGUGACAUAUAAUAAAAGUAUUGUUAUGUUAGCAUGAAGUACACAUGAAUUGCCACACUAGUUGUGACACCAAUAUCGUUAAAAAAUUAAUAUUUCAGUUAGCAUAUUUGUUAAAGAAAAGUAAAUUGGUUCUUUUUUGAAAGGUUAAUGGUUAAAUUUAGCUCAAAUGAAAAAAAAUAAAGGCCAAUUUGAUAAAAAAAGGUAAAUGUCAAAAGUUAAGUUUAUCAUUUAUACAAGUAUAAAUAUAUGUCUGGAUUAAUCUAGAAAGAACCAGACAAACUCUACACGUGAUAUUCAAAUGUGACGAGAGGGAAAUCUACACAUCACAAUUGAGAAUAAUAUUAUAGAAAUACUCAAAAACCUAAAACCUUCCCCUUAACCAAGAAGCUAAGACGCUAUGGAUAAUUUUAUAUCUACAACACUUCAUGAAUUUCAUAUGCUUAAUAAGAGUUCUUUAAAUAUAUUCGAUUUUUAUUUUAUUAUUUAUAUUAUUUUGACUCAGUAUUUAAAUUAUCAUUAUGUUACAUGAUUUAUUUCAAAUAUUUUAUAUAUUUUUAUAACGAAAUUUGAAUUAAAAAAAUAUCAAUUUUAUUAUUAAAUUAUAAUUUGAUAUAUUUUGAGAUAAUGCAAUUUUAAGUAUUUCAAUUUAUUUAAUCAUUAUUUUUAAACUCGUUUUUUGUUUUGUUAGUAUUGCAUAAUUUUAACGUGUAUAUAUAUAUAUAUAUUUAAAGUUCUACUUAUUUUUAAGUUAUGUCAAAUAAUUGACAACUUUAUUAAAGUAUGCAUUUGAAUUUAUAAAUUUUUUUAGGUUGAAAUUAAAUUGUAUACUUUUACGAUAGUAAAAAUAUAAUUUUAUCAUUUUAAUUGCCUAUAUCGUUAUAAAUUUUAAAAUAUUAAAUCAAAUUUAUAUCAUUUUUGGAGGGUAAAGUAUAAUUUUAUCAUUACUAAUUUAAAAUUUUAUAAAUUAUAAAGGGGUCUAAAUAAUUUUUUUUUCAUUUUAAAGGAGACCAAGACUCUACAACCCUUGAAUUCGCCUCUAUCCAUAUAUUAUAUUUUAUUAAUCGAUUAUACAUGUAAACAUAUUUGUUUUUACUAAUACAUUUUAUUAAUCAAAUGGCUUUUUUUUUUUUACUGUUAAGUUAUCUUUUUUUAACUCCAUACAACAAAAUUUAUUUGCUCACAGUUUAACAUAUUUUUUUAUUAUUUCAGCAAUAAUAUUUUAUACUUAUCUAUAUAUCAAAUAUCAUGAUUCUCUAACAUUAUUAAGAUUAAAUAAAUAAAAUAUGUAUAUAUAUAAAUAAUGUUUUUUUACAAAAUUUUAAUUGUUUAAUCUCAAUAAUUUUCUUUUGCAACAUUAAAUCAUAUAAUACAUUUAGAAUAUUAAAAAUGUAUCAGAUUUUUAUUAAUAUAUACAUACAAUAAAUUUGUGUAUAGCAUGAGUAAACAAAUUAAUUAUUAAACUAUAAUUUGGCUCAAACUAAGUUAACCUUAACUUAAAAUUAGGUUAAAGUACUUGGGAUUUGGGACUUGGGAGGUUGGACUGGAUUAAAUUAGUCCUUCUGUUAUUAAAUGGAUCGAUUUAGUCCUUAUAUUAUUAAAAAGAAUCAAAUAAGUUCAAACUGAAAUAGAGUUAACAUUUACUGUAUAAAAAAUGUCUCGGCAAUUGCAAUUCAAUUCCAAACAGAAUGGUUCAUGUAUAUAACCAUAAGAACUUUUUAAAUAUUCACUUGUUAGACAAUAAUAGUAUAGGACUAAAUUGAUCCAUAUAUAUAUUAUUAAUAGAAAUGAGAAUUGUGCUUGGCCAAGUUUCUAAGUUUGGUAUUUGUUCUUACUUUCCUUCUUCAACCGUAGGAGCCACUCUCAUGACUUUUAUUUACUUUGCCAAGUUACUAAGUCAUGACUUUAGUAAAAGAUUUAGUUCCAUUUGUCGCUCCAACAUAACUUUUUUUUAACGAAGAUUCCAGUUAUAUCGAUAGGUAUACAUUGUUUCAAUAAUAAUUCGAAACAAUCAAUUUUAUUUUUUGCACAACGGUGGCGGGAGGUGGCAAGCAGGGGUAAAUGUAUAAGAUUAUAAAUUUCAAAGGUAAGAUUGUAAUUUGGCCCCAAAAAAUCAUAAGGCUUUAAUUUAGUUCUUUAAAAAAUUAUAAUGGUAUUAGCUAAUACAAUGAUGAAACUGUGUUUUAACCCUUAUCGAAAUUUAUAAUUUAAUUUCGGUCCCUCAAAUAAAAUUUUUGACUUCGUCCUUAUUUCCGCACUAGUAAAAAUUCUAAUCUAUAUCAUCUGCAACGGCCAAUACUAUAACAGUCUGAUUUUCAAUGGUAUCGGAAAAGAUGGUUUUGAAACCCCAUUUUCAUUGUCUGAGUCCAUAAAUAUUAAUAUUUAAUAUUUACAAGGCUAGUAUAAAAGUUUAUUGCAGUUUGGUCCAGCAAUUUUGUCUAAUUGAUAGUUAAAUAAGGUACAUGAACUAAAUUAUAAAAGUCCAAUCAAUAUAGGUUUUUAAUUAGCAAAGGACCAAAAGGGCUAUUAAACCAUCUUUUAUUAUAUGAUAGUGGAUAUAAACAAAUAUUAAAUUUAGUUAAUUAAACUUGAUUAUGAUUAAUUAAUCCAGUUUAAUUAAAUUCUAAUUAGACAAUAUAUACAAAUUAAGUGGAAAAAAUGAAAACAUUUUUCAUCUUCAUCAUCUUUGCUGAAUUUGAGAGACAGAAAAACCUAGAAAGCUUUCAUACAUUCGGUCCUCAAUUUCUAAGGCGAUUUAAGUUUUUUUCUUGUAACUUUUAUAUAUUUGAGGUUAUGGACGCUUCAUUUAUUUAGCUCAUGUAAUAAUUUGUAAAAUUGUUAAAGUUUUUGAAAGUUGCCGUUUUUAGUUUCUUGAAUAAAUAAAUAUUAAAUUAAUAGAUUUUAAGGUUAGAUGUGAAAAAGAAUUAAAUUAUAAAAUUUAAAUUGAUAAUUUUAAGCAAAAGGAUAAAAUUGUAUAAAUUGAAAAUUUGACGCUAGUUUUUUUAUAGUUUUAGAUAAUAGAGAGUUCUAAAAGAAUGUGAUUGAAAUUGAUUUCUGAUUUAGAGAUUAAAUUAAAUAAAAUAUGAAAUUUUAAAAAUAUCAUAAAAAUAAAAUUUAACUGACUCAUGCAUGCAUAUAACAAAAACUAAAAUUUUAAGGACACACCUUCAUGCAUUUCACUUCAUUAAUAACGAAAGAAGCAUGGCUACCUAGCUUUCUGCUUCAUCCAAAAUUGUUGAACUUUGGCCUAUAAUGCAAUAGUAGAGAAGCAAUGAAGCUCAACCAGUACAACAGCAACAUUUUGUUCAUAUGCAACUAGCUUUAGUUCUUUUGUAAUUUGUAUUUAAAGUUAGUAAGAUUAGUUGAUGAUUUGAAUAAUGUCUAAUGUGAUGUAAUAGUUGAUAUGCCAACUACAUUUUGUGUGUAAUUUAAGCUUUGUUUUAGUCAAGUUAUUAGUGGGAGCAGUUGUGUAUUAGGAAACUCUCAUGUAACUUAUAUGUUUAUCUUAAUGAAAAAUGCAUAUGAAAUUAGUUUUCAAGUUUCAUUUUUGUUCAAUUCUCUUUGUAUUCGUUUCUUGCUACUUUUCUCCUUUGUUUUCUAUCAAAACAUCAACAAAUGGUAUACAGAGCCUGUCAUUUUUGAGGGACUUUAUUGUUGGUAGUUGUUUUUGUGAGAAACCUUGAAGAAAAAGAAACUGAGGUUGUUGUUUUUAUUGUUGCUGCAAAAUGAGUUUUACACCACCACCACUACCACCUCUUUUUGCUGGUGAAAACUACCACAUUUGGGUAGUAAAGAUGAAGACUUACCUGCAAGCACAUGACUUGUGGAAUGUGGUUGAGAAUGACACAGAACCAGCUCCAUUGAGGGCCAAUCCCACUAUUGUAGAAAUUAGACAACAUUGUGUAAAGUGUGCUAAGAAGCACAAAUCUAUGUCAUGCUUAAAAAAUAGUGUCUGAUGUGAUCUUCACUCGAAUAAUGGCUUGUGACACUCCAAAGUAAGCCUCAGAGAAGCUGAAGGAAGAGUUUCUCGGGCCAGACAAGACUAGGCAGUAGCAGUUGAUCAACCUUAGGAAGGACUUUAAGAACUUGAAGAUGAGAGAGUCUAAAACAAUCAAGCAGUACUCUGAUAGGAUAAUGGCCACAGUCAACAACAUCAGGCUCCUUAGAGAUGAAUUCAGUGAGAGUAGAAUUGUUAAGAAAGUCAUUACAACCCUUCUUGAAAAAUUUAAAGCAAAAAUCUCCUCAUUAGAAGACUCGAGAGAUUUAUCAACCAUCUCACUAUCUGAGUUGAUAAAUGCUCUAUAUGCAUUAGAGCAAAGAAGGGCCAAUAGGAUGGAAGAGCAUCCUGAAGGAGCUUUCCAACUAGAAACCAAGGAAAGCUCAGGUUCAAGCUAUAAAGGAAAGAAACCAUGGCUUAACAAAAGGGAGAAACCAAAGAGGGAUGCAGGGAAGAAAAUGUUCCCACCAUGUAUUCACUGCAAAAGGUCCACACACUUGGAGAGGUAUUGCUGGUACAGACCUGAUAUUCAGUGUAAGAGCUGCAAGUAGUUUGGUCACAUUGAAAAGGUUUGCAAGAACAAAGGAACGACAUAAGCUCAACAGCAAAAUCAAGCUCAAGCUGCUGAGGAUAUUCAAGCUCAAGAGGAGCAUGUUUUCACUGCAUCCUAUUUUGCAACCUCAAGAAAAUUCAGAAGAGACUAGUUAGUAAACAGUGGCUGCACUCAUCAUAUGGCAUCUGAUGAAGGGUUAUUCAGAGAUCUUAACAAAAGAUUUGUUUCCAAAGUUAAGAUUGGAAAUAGAAACCUUAUUGAGGCCAGAGGCAAAAGCAAUGUUGUGAUCAACACACAUUCAGGUAACAAAAUAAUUUCAGAUGUUCUUUUUGUACUUGACAUAGACCAAAAUCUGCUUAGUGUUGGUCAAUUAAUAUAAAAGGGUUAUUCACUCAAUUUUAAGAACAACUCCUGUGUUAUUGGAGAUUCACUUGGUGAAGAAUUAGUUACAGUUGCUAUGACUGAGAGAUGCUUUAUGUUGGAUGUGAACCAGUUUGAAAUGAAGGCCUAUACUAGUCUUGCUGAUAAAGCUAGUUUAUGGCAUAAAAGGUUAGGCCAUGUCAAUUAUAAAUCACUCAGUUUGUUGCACAAACUCAAUUUGGUUGAAGACAUGUCCAAGGUUGAAGUCAAAGACAAAGUUUGUAAAAUUUGUCAGCUUGGGAAGCAAGUGAGAUUGCCUUUUCCAGUUAACAAGGCAUGGAGAGCUCGAGACAAGCUUCAAUUGGCCCAUACUGACAUUUGUGGACCAAUGAAGACCUUUUCUUUGAAUGAUAGCAGAUACUUUGUGCUAUUCAUAAAUGAUUAUACAAGGUUCUACUGGGUAAUUUUCUAAGACAAAAGUCAAAAGUACCUGAAGUAUUCAGCAAGUUCAAAGCCUUAGCUGAGAAUUAAUGAGGCUGUAAGCUUAAGGCCUUGAGAUUCAGUAAUUUGAUGAGGAAAAUGUAUGGAACUGGAAUGUUACAGAUGCAAACUUGAGUGAGGAAGGUCAACAAGAUAAUAAUCUGUAACCAGCUGAAGAAGAAGAGCCAAUUGCUGAUGAUUUUGAUGAUGUACCUGUGAAAGACACAAGAACCAUUACUGACAUCUAUCAAAGAUGUGAUGUUGCAAUACUGGACCUACAAAUUUGAUGAGGCUGCCAGAGAAUAGUGUUGGAAAAGGGCCAUGGAAGUUGAAAUGGAGAUGAUACACAAGAACAACAUUGGGAACUGGUUGACAGACCAGACCAAAAGAGAGUUAUUGGUCUGAAGUGGGUGUUUAUGGUUAAGUACAAUAUUGAUGGGUCUCUAAACAAACACAAGGCAAGACUUGUGGUGAAGGGAUACAGCCAACAGUAUGGCAUCGAUUUCAUAGAAACAUUUGCUCCAGUUGCAAGGUUAGUUACUAUAAGGCACUUGUUUUCCUUAGCUGCUCAAAAGAAAUGGAGAGUGAAUCAAUUGGAUGUUAAGUCUGCUUUUCUGAAUGGCUUCCUUAAGGAAGAAAUCUUCAUUGAACAACCAUAUGGGUUCAAGAUUCCUCAUGAAGAGAAUAAGGUCUACAAGCUGAAAAAGGCUUUGUAUGGUUUGAAGCAAGCACUAAGGGCCUGGUAUGACAGAGUUGGUGCAUAUCUGUCUAGGCUCAGUUUUGAGAAGAGUAUCAGUGAGCCUACUCUCUAUGUGAAGAAAUCAAAAAAUGAAACCCUGUUGAUUAUGUCACUUUAUGUAGAUGAUCUACUAGUAAUUGGAAGCGAGGGGAAGCUGAUUGAAGAGUUUAAAAUAUAGAUGCAAGAUGUCUUUGAAAUGAGUGACUUGGGGGAAAUGACUUACUUUCUUGGCAUGAAAGUGAAUCAGUUUGAUCAUGCCAUCUUCAUAAGUUAGCAAGCUUUUGCCAUAAAUAUUUUAAACAAAUUUUGCAUGUCAAAAUACAAAAUUUUUAGCACACCAGUGGCUCAAGGUGAAAAAGUAACCAACCUUGGCAACCAUGAAAGAGUUGAUGAGAAGGUGUAUAGAAGCCUUGUAGGUUGUCUACUCUACUUGACAGCUACAAGGCUUGAUAUCAUGUUUGUUGUUAGCCUUCUGUCCAGAUUCAUCCAUUGUCGCAAUGUUGUUCAUUUUAAGGCAGCCAAAAGAGUUCUUAGAUAUGUGAAAGGGACUUUGGAUUAUUGAGUGAAAUUUGGGAAGACAAACGAACUCAAGUUGAUAGGGUAUUCUGAUAGUGAUUGGGCAGGUCCAUUGAUGACAUGAAGAGCACAUCUGACUAUUUCUUCACUCUUGGCUAAGGUGUUUUUUGUUGGAGUUCAAAGAAACAACAAAUAGUUGCUUAAUCAAUAGCAGAAGCAGAGUGCAUUGCAGCUGCUGUAGCUGUUAAUCAAGCCAUUGGUUUAGGAAGCUCUUAUGUAAUUUGAAUGAAGAUCAAGUUGAAGCUACUAAUAUUAGAGUUGACAAUAAGUCAGCUGUUGCCAUAGCAAAAAAUUCAGUAUUUCAUGGCAAAACUAAGCAUUUUAAGAUUAAAUUUUAUUUUGUUAGAGAGGUUGAACAAUCAAAAGAAGUUAAUUCAAUUCAUUGCAGCUCAAAAAACCAGCUUGCCGAUAUUCUAACUAAGUCUCUCGGUGCUAUAAGAUUUGAGAACUUAAGAAGAAGUAUUGGUGUUUGUUGCAUAUAGUCCAAGGAGGAGUGUUGAACUUUGGCCUGCAAUGCAACAGCAGAGAAGCAUUGAAGCUCAACCAGCACAGCAGCAACAUUUUGUUCAUAUGCAACUAGCUUUAGUUCUUUUGUAAUUUGUAUUUAAAGUUAGUAAGAUUAGCAGAACUGGAUAUUGUCGUAUUUGAUUAUAAAAAGGUGUCGGCUGGAAUUUAAUUCUCAUUGAGUGUUUUUUUAUAAAAUAACUUGAAAAUUUUUAUUAAUUAUAAAAAUGAUAUUUUUUAUUAGGUAAUAAAUAAUAAAACUGAGUGAAAUUAAAGAGAUUAGUGCCACAUCAACCAAUCAUUAACUGUUAAAAUUAAAAAAAUUAUUUUUUGAAUGAAGCCAACCCAUAUCGCAUCAUUGCGGCAGAAAGCAAUAAAGUAUGCACUAAUCAAUUGUUUUUAAUUGCUAAUAUUUAGUGAUAAAAUAAUAUUUAAUUAUCGAAAUUUGAUAAUAGUAACGAAGUUGAAAAAGGUUUUACAAUUUAGUUUUGAAAUAUAUAUUUUUAUUGAAGUUAAACUGUAAUUUAAUUAUAUUGAUUUGUAAUUUUACAUUGUUUAAAGGGACUAGAUCAAUUUUUUAUUAUUUUGGAGGUCAAUAUGCAAUUUAACAUGUAAAAUUUCAACUUUCAAGGAGACUCAAAGCAUAAAUUAACAUUUUAGGGGACCAAGGUCUUGCCUACCCCUUGUCGCCACCCCUCAUUGGUAAUUUAACUACUUCGGCCUUUGAAUUUUUUUGUCUAAAUUUAUCCUGAAAUUUGAUAGUUUUUCCUAAUGUAGUCCUUGAACAUUGGUCUAUGCUACAUCUUAGAUUUUUUUUAAAAAAUUUUUUAAAUGAUGACAUGGUUUUUUAAUAGAAUUUAAGUUCAAGAAUUAAAUUUAAAAAAUUGUUAAGUUCAAAGGCUAAAUAUUACAUUAUCCUUAAUAUUUGUUACCCGGUUUUAGAAGUCCAUUGAAUUUCUUGCCUGUUUACUUUUGUUAUUAACCAUUGCUUUGUUCUUCUUUGUUUAAUUUUAGGUCCCAUAAUUGAAAAAAGAAUGGAUGAGAAAUUUCUAAAAUCAUUAGAAACAAGAAAAUAUGAUCUCAAAUCCAAUGAAGCAUUGAAGCUCAACUAGUACAGCAGCAACAUUUUGUUCAUAUGCAACUAGCUUUAGUUCUUUUGUAAUUUGUAUUUAAAGUUGGUAAGAUUAUUUGAUGAUGUGAAUGAUGUCCAAUGUGAUGUAAUAGCUGAUAUGUCAGCUACAUUUUUUGUGUAAUUUAAGCUUUGUUUUAGUCAAGUUAUUAGUGGGAGAAGUUGUGUAUUAAGAAACUGUCAUGUAACUUCUAUGUUUAUCUUAUUGAAAAAUGUAAAUGAAAUCAGUUUUCAGGUUUCAUUUUUGUUCAAUUCUCUUUGGAUCCGUUUCUUGCUUCUUUUCUCCUUUGUUUUCUGUCAAAACACCAACAAAAAUUCACAUGUAUACAAAUUAGGACAACGUAAGUGGUCACUGAACAGCCCUAUUUAAAGAAGAAUAUACCAAAAUAAGACAAACCUAAGACCUGAACACUGACCUCAUGUGCUGCAAAGCUAUAAGAUGUUCUGAAAUUACGAAAAUCUUGUUAACAUUAAUGGAAGACAAUUAAUAAUGGUUGCCAUUAACAUUAAUGGGAGACAAUCAAUAAUGACAACCACCAACUUUGGAAAAGUGGCAAGGGAUAAUUUUUUUUGGUCCUUGAGAUAAUGGGCUAUUUAUUGUUUGGUCCUUGAACCUCAACUAUAAAUAGGUCUUCUCAUUUCUCAUUUCAAUUCAUCCCAACCAAUCUUUCUCUCUUAGUUUUCUCUCUUCUCCCAUUUGAGAAUUCUUAAGGAAUUCUAUUUGUUUGUAAUACUUUGAAGAUAGUAAAGUUAUCAUCUGGUGUUAGUGCCCGAGGACGUAGGUAUAAUUUACCGAACCUCGUUAAAACUCUUGUGUUCUUUAUUGUCCUAUUUUUCUUUCAAUAUUUGAGGGUAUAAUAGUAGUAUUUAAUUGUGCUAUUAAAUUACUAUAGAAGGGAUAUUCUGUCUAAGGAAAGACUUGGUAUUUAAGAGAUCCAUGUGAUCCACCUCUCUUCCCUGGGAAUUGAACUUUGUGUGAUUUUUAGUACAAUAAUUUAUACGCUUCCAACCCUAUUGGAACUACAAGUGGUAUCAAGAGCCGAAGGUUAAUCGUAGUAUGCUCUGUGGUUGCAGUUUAAACUGAUCUUCCACAUCAGAAAAGAUUUCCUUAGGUAUAUUGAAAGAUUAUGGAGAAAACGGUCGGUGUAGGAGCUUCAACAUCGUCCAUGUGGACAAGACCGACAAUUGCAAAUGCAAGAUUGGCCGUAGAGAUCUUUGAUGGCACGGGCCAUUUUGGUAUGUGGCAAAGUGAGGUUCUAGAUGCCCUUUUUCAGCAGGGUCUAGACAUUGCCAUUGAUGAAGAGAAACCAGAUGAUGUACAGGAGAAAGAUUGGAAAGCGAUCAAUCGGUUGGCAUGUGGCACAAUUCGAUCAUGCCUUUCUCGAGAGCAGAGGUAUGCUUUUUCAAAAGAGACUUCUGUAAAUAAGUUGUGGGUGGCACUUGAAGAUAAUUUUUUGAAGAAAAACAGUCAAAAUAAGCUCCACUUGAAGAAAAGACUGUUUCGCUUCACAUACGUCCCAAGUACCACAAUGAAUGAUCACAUCACCAAAUUUAAUCAGUUAGUCACUGAUUUGCUGAAAAUGGAUGAGACAUUCAAAGAUGAAGAUUUGGCUUUGAUGCUGUUGGGGUCACUUCCUGAGGAGUUUGAGUUCCUAGAAACUACUCUACUUCAUGGCAGGAGUGAUAUAUCUCUGAGCGAAGUCUGUGCGGCCUUAUACAGUUACGAACAGAGAAAGAAGGACAAACAGAAAAACUCAAUCAGAGAUACAGAAGCUUUAGUAGUCCGAGGUCGUUCAUACACUCGGAAGAAAACUCAAAAUGGGAGAUCAAAGUUAAAGUCCAGACUCGGGAAAGAUGAAUGUGCUUUUUGUCAUGAGAAAGGCCACUGGAAGAAAAAUUGUCCAAAGCUGAAGAAUAAGGGAGAAGCUGCUGUAGAUGCUUGUGUUGCUAAGCAUGAUACUAGUGACUCUGAACUAUCACUGGUUGCAUCAUCAUCGUCAUUCCAUUCAGAUGAGUGGAUAUUGGAUUCGGGUUGUACCUAUCAUAUGUCCCCUAACCGGGAGUGGUUCUCUGAUUUAGUAGAACUAAAUGGAGGAGUUAUUUAUAUGAGCAAUGACAAUGCCUGUAAAACUGUUGGGAUAGGUUCAAUCCAAUUAAAGAAUCAAGAUGGAUCAACCAGAGUUCUGACUGAUGUUCGGUACGUUCCCAGUUUGAAGAAAAAUCUCAUCUCAUUGGGAGCCUUGGAAUCCAAUGGUUCAGUUGUUACUAUGAGAGAUGGGAUUUUGAAAGUGACAUCUGGCGCACUUGUGAUAUUGAAGGGCAUCAGGAAAAAUAACUUGUAUUACUACCAAGGUAGUACAGUUAUUGGAGCAGUCGCUACAGCUUCCGGUAACAAAGAAUUGGACUCAAUGCAGUUGUGGCAUAUGAAGUUGGGACAUGCCAGCAAAAAAUCCUUGCAAAUUCUGGCAAAGCAAGGAUUGUUGAAAGGUGCAAAGGCUUGCAAAUUAAAAUUUUGCGAGCAUUGUGUUCUGGGAAAGCAAAAGAGAGUGAAAUUCGGUACUGCUAUCCAUAAUACAAAAGGUAUUUUGGAAUAUGUUCACUCAGAUGUGUGGGGGCCUUCCAAGACACCUUCAUUGGGAGGAAAACACUACUUUGUUACUUUUGUUGAUGACUUUUCCAGAAGAGUUUGGGUGUAUACCAUGAGAACUAAGGAUGAAGUGCUUAGAGUUUUUUCUUAAAUGGAAAACUAUGAUCGAAAACCAGACUGGCAAGAAAAUCAAGCGGCUUAGGACGGACAAUGGAGGGGAAUAUAAAAGUGAUUCGUUCUUCGAUGUGUGCCAAGAGUAUAGUAUUGUUCGACACUUCACAGUUAGGGAUACACCACAACAGAAUGGAUUGGCAGAGCGUAUGAAUCGAACAUUGCUAGAGAAAGUUCGAUGUAUGUUGUCCAAUGCUGGGUUGGGCAAGCAAUUUUGGGCUGAGGCUGUGACAUACGCUGGCCAUCUUGUUAAUCGUUUGCCAUCAUCUGCAUUAGAAAGAAAAACUCCUAUAGAGGUAUGGUCUGGAAAACCGGCUACAGAUUAUGAUUCCUUACAUGUGUUUGGAACCACUGCAUAUUACCAUGUGAAGGAGUCAAAGUUAGAUCCGAGGGUAAAGAAAGCUCUCUUUAUGGGAAUCACUUCUAGAGUGAAGGGAUUUCGUCUUUGGUGCUUAAGCACAAAGAAAAUGAUCUGUAGCAGAGAUUUUACCUUUGAUGAAUCUGCCACAUUGAAAAAGGUAGCAGAUAAAGAUAUUCAGACGAGCAAUACUCCACAGCAGGUGGAGUGUACUCCAAAACAGGUGGAGUUUGAGCAGAUGAGGAUUUGCCCAGUUAAUAAGUCUAAUUCUCCAGCCACAAUAGAGGAAUUAGAGGUUGAAGAGGUUCUGACCCAAGAACCACUAAGUACACCAGAACCAGUUGCAGUUGCAAGGCCACGGAGAGAAAUUCGUAAACCUGCUCGAUUUACUGAUAUGGUGGCCUACGCCCUUCCCGUUGUUGAUGAUAUUCCUAUCACUUAUCAAGAAGCAAUGCAAAGCUUAGAAAGUGAUAAAUGGAAAAGCGCCAUGGAUGAAGAAAUGCAGUCUCUCCGAAAGAACAAUACUUGGGAGUUGGCGCAAUUACCGAAAGGUAAAAGGGCAAUCGGAUGCAAGUGGGUAUUCGCAAAGAGAGAUGGAUCUCCUAGCAAGAAGGAUAUUCGCUACAAGGCAAGAUUGGUAGCUAAAGGCUACGCUCAGAAGGAGGGAAUUGACUACAAUGAUGUAUUUUCCCCUGUUGUGAAGCAUUCCUCCAUUAGAAUUUUGUUGGCCUUGGUAGCACAGUUGAAUUUGGAGCUAGCUCAACUUGAUGUUAAGACGGCUUUCUUGCAUGGUGAGUUAGAAGAGGAGAUCUAUAUGACUCAGCCCGAAGGAUACACAGAUGCUGGUGGUAGAAAUUGGGUUUGUAAGCUUAACAAAUCGCUAUAUGGAUUGAAGCAAUCCCCGAGGCAGUGGUACAAGCGAUUUAAUAGCUUUAUGAGAAGGCAAAAGUACACAAGAAGCAAAUAUGACAAUUGUGUGUAUUUGCAGAAGCUGCAUGACGGAUCUUUCAUUUAUCUACUCUUGUAUGUUGAUGAUAUGUUAAUCGCUUCGAAGAGCCAAAAAGAGAUAGAUAAGCUGAAGGCUCAGUUGAAUCAAGAGUUCGAGAUGAAAGAUCUAGGUGAGGCCAAGAAGAUUCUCGGCAUGGAGAUAAGUAGAGAUAGACAGAGAGGCAAGCUUUGUUUGAAUCAGAAGCAAUAUCUGAAAAAGGUAUUACAAUGUUUUGGUGUAAAUGAAAACACAAAACAUGUAAGUACCCCACUUGUUUCUCAUUUGAAACUUAGUGCUCAAUUAUCUCCGAAAACUGAAGAAGAAAGAGAAUAUAUGGCAAAAGUCCCAUAUGCUAAUGCAGUUGGGAGUUUGAUGUAUGCGAUGGUGUGUACGCGGCCUGACAUUUCACAAGUUGUUGGAGUUGUGAGCAGGUAUAUGCAUGAUCCUGGAAAAGGACAUUGGCAAGCUGUGAAAUGGAUUCUACGGUAUCUUCGAAAAACCGUAGAUGUUGGUUUAAUUUUUGAACAGGAUGAAGCACUUGGUCAGUUUGUAGUUGGAUAUGUUGAUUUCGACUUUGCUGGUGAUUUAGAUAAACGUCGUUCAACUACGGGGUAUCUGUUUACUCUUGCGAAAGCCCUAGUGAGUUGGAAGUCUACCUUACAGUCUACAGUAGCUGUGUCUACUACAGAGGCAGAAUAUAUGGCAGUUACAGAAGCUGUUAAGGAGGCUAUUUGGCUUAAUGGAUUGUUGAAAGACUUAGGAGUUGUUCAAAGUCACAUAAGUUUAUAUUGUGACAGUCAGAGCGCUAUUCAUUUAGCGAAAAAUCAAGUCUAUCAUUCAAGAACCAAGCAUAUCGACGUAAGAUAUCACUUUGUGCGGAAAGUCUUUGAAAAAGGAAAAAUUCUACUUCAGAAGAUUCCGACAGCAGAUAAUCCCGCAGAUAUGAUGACCAAGGUGGUAACAACAAUCAAGUUUAAUCAUUGUUUGAACUUGAUUAACAUCCUGAGAAUUUGAGCACCUUCAGGUGUAUGGCGCUCGAGAGCGCAUUUGUAGGCACUACAAAAGAUAGCUUUAUCGAAUUUGGGGAGUUGAAGGAAGUGUGUGAAGAUGUGAUUAUCCUAAUCAAAUCUUCAAGGUGGAGAUUGUUAACAUUAAUGGAAGACAAUUAAUAAUGGUUGCCAUUAACAUUAAUGGGAGACAAUCAAUAAUGACAACCACCAACUUUGGAAAAGUGGCAAGGGAUAAUUUUUUUUGGUCCUUGAGAUAAUGGGCUAUUUAUUGUUUGGUCCUUGAACCUCAACUAUAAAUAGGCCUUCUCAUUUCUCAUUUCAAUUCAUCCCAACCAAUCUUUCUCUCUUAGUUUUCUCUCUUCUCCCAUUUGAGAAUUCUUAAGGAAUUCUAUUUGUUUGUAAUACUUUGAAGAUAGUAAAGUUAUCAUCUGGUGUUAGUGCCCGAGGACGUAGGUAUAAUUUACCGAACCUCGUUAAAACUCUUGUGUUCUUUCUUGUCCUAUUUUUCUUUCAAUAUUUGAGGGUAUAAUAGUAGUAUUUAAUUGUGCUAUUAAAUUACUAUAGAAGGGAUAUUCUGUCUAAGGAAAGACUUGGUAUUUAAGAGAUCCAUGUGAUCCACCUCUCUUCCCUGGGAAUUGAACUUUGUGUGAUUUUUAGUACAAUAAUUUACAUGCUUCCGACCCUAUUGGAACUACAAAUCUUUGUUCUUUCAUUGGGUUUCUUAUCUUCCUUUUACACAAUUAAAAACCCAUAUAUAAUUUUAAAAAUACUUUCAGGCUUCUUUGUCUUGCUAAUUUCUGUAGAAAAUUACUGGUCUAUCACUGCCCCAAAGGUUCCAGCAUUUGAAGCACAAGAUAUUGGCACAUCAUAUAAGUUCUAAAUUUGUCACCAACAACUGACAAAACUGAGUAGAAUUACAUUAAUUAUGCUUAACAUUACACUUCAGGCAUACAUGCAAUUAAAAGUAAAAUCGAAAUAACACUAAACAUACUCGGAGUCGGAGGUGAAGAGGCGGUUGAAAGAGCGCGGAUUAAAGAGAAGAGGACUGGCGAGGUGGCGGGUAUUGAGGGCAAUGGAUGAGUGUUUUGAGGUGGGUUUUGAAAGAGCGUCUGAGGGAAAGCGAUAGAAACAUGGUGGAAGAAAGGAAGAGUUAAUGGAAGGAAAAUUUUAGGGUUUUGUUCUUUGUAUGAGAUCAUUUCAUAGAAUUGAUUAAGAAAGGAAGCAUCUAAGGAAGGAAAGGAGCUUAUUAGUGUUGUUUUCCGGUUUGGAUGUUUGGUUUAUUUUAUUAUUCAAAAUUAAUUUUUUUAAAACAAUGAAACAAGUUAUUUGAACCAGAUGGGUUUGAGACUAGGUUUGAUUUUUCUUUCUAGAGUCAGAACAUAGGCUUGAUGUAUGAAUACUUUUAAUUACAAUUGUAUUUGAGCUGUGAUGAUAUUCAACUAAAGCCCUCUCAAUAAUAAUAACUCUAAAUUUAAACUUAAAAAUAACUUUGAGCUAAUCUUGAUCGAUUACUCCAAUCACACAACACGAAUAACUAAAGCUUCCUCAACCUCAACAAAUGUUAUAGUGUCAAGAUUGAACAAACUGUCUCCUAGUACCCUAUUGAUUAGGCAACUUUGAUGUUGAACAUCCCACAAAAACAUGAAAAAAAGAAAAGAAAAAGAAUCACAAUUAUAUUUAACUCAUGCAACAAGUUUCACCUUUUUUUUUGUGAGAAAAAGAUCAAGCCACUAUUAGGGAGUCUUGGGCUUCUAGUUGAAGCCUGUGAAUCAUUAGAAUAAGAAAAUUCAUGUAAUGCUUAUUGCCAAAUCACAAUCUCGUCAGAAUUGAGGUUUUUCAAAAACAAAACAAUUAACAAAUAUUUAUGGCCUGAAACCUUAACCUACCCUAAUAGAAAGGUAAAAGAACAAUGUGCUCAAUGGAUUUCACUUCUUCCCCACACCUCGGUCAAUGAGGAUCCACCUCCUUAAACAUUUUGGCAAUGUUUUGUUUAGUAGUAACACAUUGUGGCAAGACCUCCUAAGGAGAUUUUUGAUAUUUAUUAUCACAUUAAGCUCUCAUGAAUGAUUUAAACCUUUCUAAGACAAAUCAUUGUUAGCAUUUUAUCCGUUUGGGGCCGCAUAUGAGAGAGGUAGAGAAAAGAGUCACUCGUACCCAUAUCAAAUGUUGUAAGAUUCAUCUUCCGAAAAAUGCCACACAAAUUUAUCUCGCUUAGUAGGGGACCUAAUAAGGAUUUUCUCAAUAACCUUAUGUUUAUUUUGGCUAAAACAUUGUUGUAGUAAAUCGCUCUUCCAAAUCCACAAGUCCAGAUCAAUCAGGUCCUUAAACAAAAUAAGGCUUAUCUCAAAGGAGGAAAGGAUGGAAUAUAUUCAAAAAGAUUACAAGUCGAGGACCCAUUGAUCAUGUGAAACCAUAAUGUCCUAGUCACUUUUGAAUUCAAUUUGGUUGCAAGAUUUUUAGUUAAAUUAAUAAUUCAAAAUUUUAGUAGGUAUCUUUCAUGUCUGAUGUACGAUUUUUGAAGACUAAUCUUUUUAGGAUUCGUGGUUACCCCUUCCAACGAUAUUAUUAUAUCUAAGGUUUAAAUAUGAAUUUUUUUCUUAGGAAUACAAUAUGCCUCCCCUUCUCAAUUUUUGUUCAUUGUUAAUUGAUCAUUUAAAUAGGAAUGCAUUUGUUUUAAACCUUGGUAAUUAGUUGGGUCUAGUGAACUUUAGGAGCUUAUUCUAUGCAUGUAACUCCCAACAUCCAUUCUUAAGAAUUCGAUGAUUGAAAUAUUUGGUUUCAAAAUUACUUCAAUUGUAAUUAUUACUUGAUUGUGGUACAAAAUUUUUGUUACAAUGUUUAGAACUAUUUACAACUCCUCCUUAACAUUUAAUAAAAGGAUAAAGGCACUUUAGCACGCUUCAACCCACAUAUCCUUCUAUACUAACAACAAUGUUGAUACUAAAUUAAAACUCAAUUUAACAAUUGUACAUAUUUUUAGGUUAAAUAAAUUUUAAGUACACAUAUUGCUGUUGUGAUGUAAGUAUUUAGGAUAAAUCACUGCAUUGUUAGACAAAUUGACCCAGACUAUAAAUUGUAUAUACAAACAAAAUUAAAGAGCAUUGGUAAAAUGUACAAAAAAAAUUGAGUAACAUUCAAUAUUUAUAAUAAAUAAAACACAAAUAUAAUAUACAAAGCUUUGAUGCCUUGAAUCUUUAGGGCUCUUCAAGCAGCCUUUAAUUUUUGUGAUUGGAUGAGUCUUGGCUGCCGCAAAUUGAAGAAGAAAAAUAUAUAAAAGCAUUUCAGAACAAAUACACACAAAAUAAGCUUCUGCAUGUAAGAAACUUAUAUAAGUUCGUUUCGGGUUUCACAAGUUUAAUCUUUUUAAGUUUGAGAUUUUAAUUUUUGAAUUGCAUCAUUACUAAUAAAAUUAUUUUAAGUAUAAAUUAUUCAGAUUAUUUUGAAUUCAAAUAAAUGUUUUGUUUGAAUCAAUUUAUAUUUGGGCCAAUAAUAAAUGGGUUUAAAUAGCUGAUUUUUUAUGGUCAAAGUGAGUUAAUUAGUUAAAUUUUCGGAUUCAUGUUAGAAUUGACACAUUUAAUUAAAAAUAUUUAAGCAUUAAAAUAAUCAAAAAGUCCCUAAGUUCAACUUACGGACGAAAAUUUAUAUUUUUACUUAGACUUCCCGAUUUUUUCAAAUUCUUAAUUAAGCCUCACAAUAAGUAUUGAAAUUUUCAAAAUUUUCAAAAUUUUCAAAACUUGCCUUUAAUUUUCUCAAAAUUCUUGAUUAAAUCUCUUAAAUUUUAUUUUCGAAAAAAGAAUUUCAUUAAACACAAAAAAUUAAAUAGAUUGAAUCCAACAUCUAGGAGUUACAAAAUUCUCAUAAAUAACAAGAGUUUACAAAAAGACUAGUAAACAAAACUUACUUUUGUUGAUGUAUAGCAUAAUAAGUCUGCAAAGCACCAAGCAAAAGUGCAGUAAUGGCACCCACAAAUGCCAAAAACGUCCAAGGACUCCUAAAAUAAGUAUGAUAACCUUGAGCUGCAUGCUUAAUCCACGUAGUCUUACAAUGAUCAUGUAUUUUCCGUUUAACCCCACUGUAAAUCGGACUAGGAACCAAAUCAGUGUUCAUCUUAUUGAAAAGCUUAGCCACUUCUUCAUCACUCCCCAAUCUAUUGUAUAGUAUGCCGGCGUCUCUCAGGUCUUUAACAUCUUCGGCUUCAUCAAUCAAUAAAUCAAGGAAACACAUAUAUGAAGUGACGGUGAAAUCGUUGUCGAAAUCCGGACACAUUUCGUAAGCUAUUAAGUUCAUGGUUGAAUCAUCGACGGAGAUCGGCGGUAAACAUAAUUUUCCGACGAAUAAGAUACGGUUGAAACUGAUGUCGGUUAAACAACUUGUUUCGCUGGCUUUUAACGAUAUCCCGACUUUUUUAAGCUCUUUUACGUUAUGAAUGGUGUGUGAAUGGCACCAUUUUGUUCCUUCUUCUUUUCUACGUUCUUGUUCAUUUGAACACGGAAAACCCCACCGCCGUGGUUUUUCUUUUUUGAAAAGGAGUCUUACUCGUAGUAGAUGCAAUAAGUGAAUUCGCUCUCCUUGCUUCUACUUCCGCCACCAUUCAUCGGAGCAAAAUCUGUAUCAGUCGAAGCAAACCUAUAAAUUUUUUUGGGGUAAAUUACACUAACAGUCACUCAACUUUGGGGUAGCUAACAAAACAGUCACUCAAGUUUCAGUUCAGUCACUGAACUUCUAAAAAAUAACAAAAUAGACACUAAUGUUAUUGAAAAGUGAUAAAUCAGUCACUCAUUAACAAUUGUCAUCACAGGCUUAAUGUGGUCAAUUAACUAGUUGAUGUGACUAGUUAACUUGCCAUGUUGGACAAGUAGUCAAAGGGUCAAAAAGAAAAAAAGAUGAUUAGUUAAGGGUAAAAAGAAAAAUAAGAGAAAUGGAGAAGAAGAAGAAAAGGAGGAAGAAGGGAAAAUGGAAGUCAAAGGGUCAAAAAGAAAAGAAAAGAUGAUUGGUUAAGGGUAAAAAGGAAAAUAAGAGAAAUGGAAAAGAAGAAGAAAAGAAGAACAGGGUAGGAAGAAGGGAAAAUGGAAGGAGCUUCCAAGCUUCAUACCAACGAUUCCCAAGGGUCAAAAUCUGGGAAUUUGGAUUUUGAUCCUUGGGAAUUACUGUUACGAAGUCCUUCCAUUUUCUCCUCUUCUUCUUUUCUUCUUUUUCUCCAUUUCUUCUCUUAUUCUUCUUCUUUUUUUUGUUCUUCUACUGCCCAAACUUCUUAAAUGGGUUUGUUUAAAUGACAGCUAGCCUACCCUUAAAUGUCAUGUCACUUUUUCGUUACGUCUGUAACGAAAAAUGGUUAAAAAGACUGUUUUGUCAGCUACCCCAAAGUUGAGUGAUUAUUGCUAUAAUUUACCCUAUUUCUUAUUUGAAAUUGUAAAUUUUUAACCAGCUAAAUUUAAGGUUUUCAAAACCCAACUCGUUAAGUUAUCGAUUUAUAAUUCUAAUUGGUCUAAUGAAUUCAUCCGAUUAAUUAAAUUAAUUAUUAAAAAUUUUCCAUUUGAUUGCCCAAUUCAAUUAAUUUUUUUUGGUUCAACCUGUUCAUAUAGAUUCUCAAAUCAAUUGGUCCAAUGACUUCCUUCAGACUAAUACCUUAAUUAAUUUCCAAUCCAAAUCGAUUCAAAUAAUAUUGGCUAAAAUACAAUUUUUAUUAUUUUAUUAAUGCAAAAAUUUUACCAUUUUAAAGAUAUUAAAAUAUAAAAUUUCUAUUUUAAAAAGUUGGAUUUGAAAUCAUAAUUUUUUUUCUAAAGAAAUGUACACUCAACAGGACCAAAGGAAUUGGCAGGGAAAUUUUGUUUUAUGGACCGUUUUCAUCACAAAUGAUCUUAUCAAAUUAAAAGAGGAUAGAUCAUCUUUUUUUUCAUAUCAUAUAUACAUUGGGACUAAACUUCCAAAUAAAAAAUAAUGUGUCUUUUUUUAAUUGAGUGGGACCAUAGAUGAUGUGGUGAAAAUGGUCCAUUAAAUAAUUUAUCACAAGCAAGAGUAAUUCCAAAAAUAGAAAAUUACAUUUUAAUUCUUUAAAAAUUAUUAAAUUAUAAAUUUAUAUAUAAUAAAAUUACACUUUGACCCUCAAAAUGGAAAAAAUAUUUUGUUCAGUCUUUUUAAAAAAAUAUGAACUUAUAAAUCAAUACAUGAAAAAAUUUAAGGAUUCGACAAAACUUAUCGGUCAGGCUAGUUGUUGAGAAAAUUGAACAAGGUAUUGAUCCAGAAUAAGAGAUUAGAUUAGAUGAAUUGAGUCAUCGAAUGGAUUUUCUUUAUAUGUUUAAUAUAUCUUUAAUAUUUUCAAAAACUUAUAUAACUGAAUCGAAUAAACUAAUCAAUCAAAAUUAAGAGUAAUCAAUGUAAAAACCUUUUAACAUUUAUAACCUCGACAAAAUGAUUUUUUUAUUUAUUUUUAAAUUCCUUAAAUUACCUGUCCUCGGCUGGGGUGAUAACAGUGUCGUCGAUGAACCUUAUGAUUGCAUUCAUGAACUGUUCGCCAUCACUCGAGCUAGUAAGCAAUUCAAGAACACGAAAAGGUAUUUGGUUCUCCAACAAUAACAGAUCCGAGUACACAAAUGUAAGCAAAUCGUUUUUAAUAAACUGGCCAUAAAUUUUACAAAUAUCAUCACCGUAACGCAUAUAAACUGCUUGUAAAAUUGCGCAGCCGUCAACGAAGAACAUCCAAGCCAGUUUCUCGUCAUCGUCGCUAUACUUCUCUAAUUCCUGUGGAUCAUAGCAUUUCUUUAAGUCAUCGAUCGCUUUUUUCAUGUUGCUGUACAAGGAAUCCUUAUCGACCUUAAUGUUUUUGACGAAAUGUGCUGCUAAUUUGAGCUUGAGCUCCUUGGAUUCCUGGAGGGUGCGAUCAUCGUGGUGGAGUGGGCCGAUUGAGAUCACUUUCGGCCAGAAAUACUUCUUGAAAUCUUUGUUACGGCGAAGGGUUGAUGGGACUUUUCGGAUCAAUAGAUUGGAUUUGAAUUUGGGUUGGCCGCCCUCGAAAGCUUCGUCUAAUUUUUCGAGAUUCGCUAAUUCGCCACUGCUGAGUUGGACGUCGCCACUGCUGAGAGGGACGUCCGUGCACCGCAUAUCAAUGCUCACGGAAUCGUUGUUGGUGUUGUUGUUGAUGGUUGUUUGAUCAGUGGAAACUGCUCCGACGGCGCCGCCUCCUUCCUCCGUGGACGACAUUUUCAGGGUGAGCGGUUGGAAGUAAUAAACAAGGUGAUUUUGUAAACUGUUCUUGGCUGAGUGAGUGAUGUCGGAGAAAAGGUGGCAAAAUGGCUACGAUGAUGACAAAUAUUUUAUAGCUUACAUAAUAAACAAAUAUGGGAAAUACUUGAGGUGUAAUUUAAAUUUACCCCUUAGUGUUUAUAUUUUUACUAAUAUAAUUUUUAACUUUUAAUUUUUUAAUUAAAUUUAAUUUUCUUUUGAAAGAGUCAAUCUUAAAAAAGAAAAGUUAAAUUAAUGUUUUUUUAACAAAAAUAGUGACAAAUAUAAUAAUUGUCCUUAAGAAGCUAAGACCCUAUGAUUGGGACAUUUACAACACUUAAUAAAUUUCAUACACUUAAAAAUAGCUCCAUGCUUCUUUACAUAUAAUAAUUGCAUUUGUUAUUCUACCUAACUCUUGAAAAAUCUCAAAUUUGCAACCACAUAUUAUUCACAUGCCAACCAACCAAUUUAUUACCCACAUGCCAACCAUUUUUUUUAUUGAAGUUAUUGUACUUAUAACCUUUCACAUAUAACUAUGCUUCUUUAGAUAUGCUAAUUGCAUUUAUUGUUGUACCUCACUCGUGAAAAAUCUCAAACUUGCAACAAAAUAUUAUUCACAUGCCAACCAACCACUUUUUUUAUUGAAGUUAUUAUACUUAUAAGCUUUAUGCUUAUUGUAACACUCUAUGUUUGAUUCGAUCUACAGGACACUAUAGUUAUUGUCAGAGCAACUACAGUCAGAAUUACGAAAAGAUAAUUUGUAUUUAACAUCAAUCAUGAUGCAAUUACAGUAACACAUCAAUUAUGAGCUUUAAUCGAGCUUACGAAAGCUUUUUUGGCAGUUCGAGCAAGAAUUAGGACCAAACAGUAAAGAUUUGAAAAGUUUGGAGCGACUUCGUGACUUCAGCUUUUUCUCAUCGCAACAUGACCAUCUCAGUGUGUCACAUCAUAACGAAAAGCCUAUGCUCAUCACAACGAGACUCUCUGACUUGACAAUGUCACAAUGUCAAGAUUUGUAGUCGUGACGUGGACCCUAUAUUUGGCAAAAAUAUACAAUUUGGUACCUAAUUCAAUGCUCCAACUAAAAUCAUGCAAGAAAAAUACAUUACAUGCCAUUUCUAAAUAACUUAAAACUUACCUAAAACAUGCUAAGUAAGUUCAAACAUAUCAUUUCAAUUCCAUAGCAAUUCAUAUUACCAUUUCAUCAUUUAUAUUCAACUUUUCAAUAACUUACACUAAAUAUCAACAAGUUAUACAAACAUCUACCAUUACCUUUAUCAUGCCAUAAUGAAUCAUUCCAUUUCAAACAAUCAUCACAUUAGUUCUUUUAUUUUUCUUUUUUAGUCAACAUAUGAAAACCAACUUAGAUAGAUCACAUUCCAACUUUCCAAAUGCAUCAAAUAUUUCAUAUUCAUGUACUAACAAAGAUCAUGCCAAGAACCCACAUGCAAAGUCAUUAUAUACCACAUUUAACUCAACAAGACUUUUACACAACCAAAGAUUACUCCAAACGUUUAUAUGCAUGUCGCAAUCCUUGACUCAAAGAUAAUAAAAAAAACCGAAUUGACAAUAGAAUAGUGUAAGCUUCAAACGAUCCAACCGACAUGUUCCACAAUGUAACAACCUAAAAGGAAAAAGAAAACAAUGGGGUAAGCAUAUAAGAUGCUUAGUAACUCAUAUGUAAUCUAAACCUUACCUAGAUUAAUUGAACAUAAACAAUUACUCAAUAAGCUAUCAAAUUUAUUUUUCCAUGGCACUUAGAUAUCGUACAUGUAACAAUAUUUCAAGUCGAAAAUGUUAAAUACAAUGUUGAAUCAUUAUGUCUUCUUUUCGUAAGUUUCACUUAUAGAAAUACAAUAUAGGUUCAAGUACAAAUAUAUGUCUCGAUUAAUCUAGAAAGAACUAGACAAAAUCCACACAUGAUAAACGCAUAUAAUGAGUGUGAGACUCACACAUCACAAUUGAGAAUAAUAUUAUAGAACCAAAAUACUCAACAACCCAAAACCUUUGCGUUAACCAAGAAGCUAAGACCCUAUCAGAGGGAGAAUUUUAUAUCUACAACACUUAUUAAAUUUCAUUAGCUUAAUAAUAUAUAUUCAAAUAUUUAACAUUGUAACCAUGCUUCUUUUCAUAUAGUAAUUGCAUUUGUUAUUCUACCCAACUUAUGAAAAAUCUCAAAUAUAUAUUUUCAUUUUAUUACUUAAAUUAUUAUUACUUACUUUAAUAUUUAAAUUAUCAUUAUAUUACAUGAUUUGUUCCAAAUAUUUAACAUUGUAACGAUGCUUCUUUAAAUAUAGUAAUUGCAUUUGUUAUUCUACCUAACUCAUGAAAAAUCUCAAAUUUGCAACAUGUUAUUCACAUGCCAACCAACCAAUUUAUUAUUCACAUUCCAACUUUCUAAAUGCAUCAAAUAUUUCAUAUUCAUGUACUAACAAAGAUCAUGCCAAGAACCCACAUGCAGAGUCAUUAUAUACCACAUUUAACUCAACAAGACUUUUACACAACCAAAGAUUACUCCAAACGUUUAUAUGCAUGUCGCAAUCCUUGACUCAAAUGAUAAAAAAAACACCAAAUUGACAAUAAAAUAGUGUAAGCUUUGAACGAUCCAAUCGACAUGUUCCACAAUGUAACACCUAAAAGGAAAAAGAAAACAAUGGGGUAAGCAUAUAAGAUGCUUAGUAAACUCAUAUGUAAUCUAAAACUUACCUAGAUUAAUUGAACAUAAACAAUUACUCAAUAAGCUAUCAAAUUUAUUUUUCCAUGGCACGUAGAUAUCGUAUAUGUAACAACAUUUCAAGUCGAAAAUGUUAAAUACAAUGUUGAAUCAUUAUGUCUUCUUUUCUUAAGUUUCACUUAUAGAAAUACAAUAUAGGUUCAAGUACAAAUAUAUGUCUCGAUUAAUCUAGAAAGAACUAGACAAAAUUCACAUAUGAUAUAGGCAUAUAAUGAGUGUGAGACUCACACAUCACAAUUGAGAAUAAUGUUAUAGAAAACCUUUGCGUUAAGCAAGAAGCUAAGACCCUAUCGGAGGGAGAAUUUUAUAUCUACAACACUUCUUAAAUUUCAUUAGCUUAAUAAUAGCUAUUCAAAUAUUUAACAUUGUAACCAUGCUUCUUUUCAUAUAGUAAUUGCAUUUGUUAUUCUACCCAACUUAUGAAAAAUCUCAAAUUUGCAAUUUAUUAUUCACAUGCCAAACAACCAAUUUAUUAUUCCAACCAACCAAUUUAUUAUUCACGUGCCAACCAAUUUGUUUUAUCGAAGUUAUUAUACUUAUAAGCUUUCACAUAUAACCAUGCUUCUUUACAUAUAUUAAUUGCAUUUAUUGUUGUACCUCAUGAAAAUUUUCAAAUUUGCAACAACAUAUUAUUCGCAUGCCAACCAACCACUUUUUUUUAUUGAAGUUAUUAUACUUAUAAGCAUUCACAUUUAACCAUGCUUCUUGUAACACUUUUCAUUGGAUCCAAUCGUUGGGUCCGAUCUACAAGACGCUAUAGUCAUUGUCAAAGCAACUACAGUCGAAAUUACGAUAAGAUAAUUUUCAUUUAAACAUUAAGCAAGAUUCAACUACAGUAAUACAUUAAUUAUGAGUUUUAAUCGAGCUUACAAAAGCUUUUUUGGUAGUUCGAACAAGAAUUAGGACCAAACUAUAAAGAUUUGAAAAGUUUGGAGCGACGUCACAACUUCAGCUUUUCCUCAUCGCAACAUGACCAUCUCAGUAUGUCACAUCAUAUCGAAAAGCCUAUGCUCGUCGUGGCGAGACUCUUUGACUUGGCAAUGUCGCAAUGUCAAAAUUUGUAGCCGUUAUGUAAACCCUAUAUUUGACAAAAAUAUACAAUUUGGUACCUAAAUCAAAGCUCCAACUAAAAUCAUGCAAGAAAAAUACAUUACAUGCCAUUUCUAAAUGACUUAAAACUUACCUAAAACAUGCUAAGUAAGUUCAAACAUAUCAUUUCAAUUCCAUAGAAAUUCAUAAAACUUACCUAAAACAUGCUAAGUAAGUUCAAACAUAUCAUUUCAAUUCCAUAGCAAUUCAUAUUACCAUUUCAUCCAUUGUAUUCAACUUUUCAAUAACUUUAACUAAAUAUCAACAAGUUAUACAAACAUCUACCAUUACCUUUAUCAUGCCAUAAUGAAUCAUUUCAUUUCAAACAAUCAUCACAUUAGUUCUUUAAUUUUUCUUUUUUAGUCAACAUAUGCAAACCAACUUAAAUAGAUCACAUUCCAACUUUCCAAAUGCAUCAAAUAUUUCAUAUUCAUGUACUAACAAAGAUCAUGCCAAGAACCCACAUGCAAAGUCAUUAUAUACCAAAUUUAACUCAACAAGACUUUUACACAACCAAAGAUUACUCCAAAUGUUUAUAUGCAUGUCGCAAUCCUUGACUCAAAUGAUAAAAAAAAACUACCAAUUUGACGAUAAAAUAGUUUAAGCUUAAAACGAUCCAACUGACGUGUUUUUUUUUUUGCUCAAUCAAGAUAUUAUAGCUUUCAGCAUUUGUAGAAAUGCUAGCAUUCUACAAAUACAAGAUAACCCUUUCCCAAGAUCAGCAAACCGAGCACAAUCAAGUUGAGCCGACGUGUUCUGCAAGGUAACAACCUAAAAGAAAAAAAGAAACAACGGGAUACGCAUAUGAUAUGUUUAGUAAGCUCAUAUGGAAACUAAAACUUACCUAGAUCAAUUGAACAUAAAAAAUUACUCAAUAAGCUAUUGAAUUAAUUUUUCCUUGGCACUUAUAUACAUAUAGUACAUGUAACAACAUUUCUGUUAAAGAAAAGUAAUUUGACUUUUUUUCUGAAAAGUUAAUGGCUAAAUUUAGCUCAAAUAAAAAAGAAAAAACAAAAGCCAAUUUGGCAGAAAAUAUAAAUAUUGAGGAUAAAAUUUAUCAUUAUGUCUUUUUUUUUUAAGUAAUUAUUUGUGGUGGGCCAUCAUGUUUGACAAUGAUUUUUAAAUACUGUGUUAAUUGUAUAUAGCACAUCAUGUUUGACAAUAAUUUUUAAAGACUUUUAAACAUCGCGUUAAUUGUUUAUGGCCCAUUGCCCAUAUUGCUUUUAUUAAAUUUUGGGUAAACUUCAAGUUAAUCAUUUAAUUUUUAUAAAAUUUCACUUUGGUGAAAAAAAAAUUGUAUGGGAUGGGAGUCUCAGGAUAAAACAAAAAUUAGGAUAAAUGUAAUGCUGAAAUGAAUAUACUGGGAAUCUUUAAUGUUUAUGGCCAAACCCCACCUCUCCUAUCCUAUACUUCAUCUAUAAUAAUGGUUCUUGGCUUCUUCUAUUCUAUACCUCAAUUAUUUGGAUUAGAUUGAAAAACAAUUGACACUUGAUUUGAUUGUGAAAGAAGUUUUAGUUUAAUGAUAUGAUUGAGUUAAAAUUUAAAUUUAUAAUAUUUAACUUGAGUGUGAGUGAAUUUUUGACUUAAUUCAAAAUUUAAAAUAAUAAGUUCGAGUUUUAUUUAAUUAUGUGUGUAUAUCAUGUAUAAAUUUUAUUUAAAUUUAUUUUGAUUUAAUUCUCAUACUAUAUAUUCUUAAUUAAAUUCGGAAUAUAUUUUAAUUAUCAAUUUAAUUAUACAUUAUAACGAUGGAUUUGGAUAACAAAAUUCAGUUUACAAAAAGACAAAGUAAAGAACACUUACUUCGGUUGAUGUAUGGUAUAAUAAGUCUGCAAAGCACUAAGAGUAAGUGCAGCAAGGGCACCCAAAAAUGCCAAAAACGUCCAAGGCCUCCUAAAAUAAGUAUGAUAACCUUGAGCUGCAUGAUUAAUCCACAUAGUCUUACAAUGAUUAUGUAUUUUCUCUUUAACCCCACUGUAAAUCAUCUGACUAGGAACUAAAUCAGUGUUCAUCUUAUUGAAAAGUUUAGCCACCACUUCAUCACUCCCCAAUCUAUUGUAUAGUAUACCGGCGUCUCUUAGGUCUUUAACAUCUUCGGCUUCAUCGAUCAAUAAAUCAAGGAAACACAUAUAAGAAGUGACGGUGAAAUCGUUGUCGAAAUCCGGACACAUUUCGUAAGCUAUUAAGUUCAUGGUUGAAUCAUCAACGGUGAUUGGCGAUAACCGUAAUUUUCCAAAGAAGAUAUGGUUGAAACUGAUGUCGGUUAAACAACUUGUUUUGCUGCCUUUUAACAGUAUCCCGGCCUUUUUAAGCUCUUUUACGUUACCAAUGGUGUGUGAAUGGUGCCGUUUUGUUCUUGCUUCGUUGCUAGAUCCGUGUUCAGUGAUUGACCACAAACGGCACCACCACGGUUUUCCUUUUCCUACAAGGAGUCUUACUCGUAGUACAUUCAAUAAGUGAAUUCGCUCUCCUUGGUGCAGCUCCCACCACCAUUCACUACACCAAAAUCUGUGUUAGUCGGAAGCCAAGUUAUAAUUUAUCUUUUCAUUUUUUUCUUUUUGUUUGGAUUUGCAAUUGUUAAUUUUCAUGAAGCUAAAAUUAAUAUUUUCAAAAUAGAUAAUUCAACGAUUAAGUUAUUGAUUUAUAAAUUUCAAUUUAUUUGAUUUAAUUAAAUAAAUUAUUAAAAAUUUCGAUUCAAUAACACGGUUUAAAUAAAAAUUUUUACUCUAUUCAUAUAAAUUUUUAAAUCGGCCCGUCUAAUGACUUUCUCCUAAUUGAUGUCUCAAUUAAUUUUCAAUCCAAAUCGAUAUUAGCUAAAAUACAAUUUUUUAUUAUUGUAUUAAUGCAAAAAUCUUACCAUUUUUAAGAUAUUAAACUUUUCCAUUUUGGAAAGUUGGAUUUGAAAUCAUAAUUUUUCAUUUCUAAAUAAUGUACACUCAACAGGAUAAAUGCAAACCGACAGGCAGGGGUCGUUCCCAAGAAAUAAAAAUUUACACUUUAAUCCCUUUAAAAAUUAUUAAAUUAUAAUAAGUCAUCAAAUUAAAAAGAAAAAAAUUUAAGGAUCAGACUAUACUUGUUAAUCAGGUUAGUUAGAUAAAAAAUCGAGUAAAAUUAGAAUUAGACUAAUUGAAUCAAAGAAUCGAAUCACUUUUUUUAUAUUUUUAAUAAUUUCAAAAAAUUAUAUAAUUAAACUGAAUCAACUUAUAAUCCAGAAAAGAGAGUCUAAUAUUUUUAAUAAUUUCAAAGAUUCCAUCACCCAUCUAGUUAUAAAAACCUUUUAACAUUUAUAAACUCCACAAAAAUGAUUCUUUAAUUCCGUAAAUUGGCACAAGAUGCGCCCCAUGGAGGUCUAUCGAUUAGAUGGGGGACAUUUAGCCCACAAGAACUGGCCUGAUUCGGAGAGCUACUAAAGAAGCCUAUCAGAUUAAAGCCUGGUUGGCCCAAUGAUGAAGACAUGACAACUUAGGCAAUUUUGGUAACUAAUCUUAGAAGAUAGAAUAGAAUCAUAUCUUGUAAGAUUAGAUUAGAUUUGAUAUGGCAAAUCUUGUAAAUCCCUAAAAUCAAGGGAUAUAGUGAAUCUCAUCCGUCGAUGUACAUGUAUCUUGAUCGUCGGUUCUGGGGGAGCUCAACUAUAAAUAGAGAGCCUCCCCCUCACUUGUAAAUCAUCCAUUGUAGCUUGAAUUCUUAAGAGUAAUAGAAUUCUUGAGCAUUUACUCAAACACUUUGUGAGCUUUCUUUCUUUAGCUUUCUGUUGUUCUCUUGUGGCUUCUUUUGGCACAAUCGCUUCCGCUAUACAAAUUGGUGCCUUGGAGGAGUUCUAAAAGAAUCCUCUCUUUUGGGAGUUAAGGCUGACUUGGGCAAGUUUGGAUGAACGGAUCGCCUAAGGCCGUACGGAUUGCGAGACGAAAGGUCUAGCCCCGUGACAAGUGGUAUCCGAGCCAAGUUUUGAACCAAGUUAUAUUCGAGUGGUUCGAAGGCACUGUUGGGAUGUCGAAAGAAGUCGUCGGUCAGAGUGAACCAAUGGAGACCCGUGGGAGGGCUAGAAAAGCCAAUCACUCGAGGGAAAUGCUGACAGCUUUGGAGAACCGAGUGGUCAAUCUCGAGGAAUCCGUAGGAAAUGUGAAAGAGACGCUUGAAUUGGUCGAGGGACGCACAGAUGGGUUGGACUCAAUGGAGGAGCAACUCAGAGAUUUUGUGUUGGAUUCUCUUGGUGCAAAUAGGGAAAAGAUAACGGAAUUACUCGAGUCCACUGAGGUAAAGCUAGCAGAGAGGGAUGAAGCUCUCGAGGAUAUGGUGCUAGCCAUGCAAAAAGAAAUGGAGGAGCUUAAGGGGGAGCUCACGAUCUACAAAGCCGCUUUGAGUAAUGGGAUGUUGUCUUCAAGGCCGAAGCAACAAGCAAUGGAUGUGAAUCAAAAUUGGGAUGCUGAUGAUGAUCGUGGAAGGACACAGGAACGACAUCCUCGUGAUAAAUUUAAGGGUAGAUUGAAGUCUUCAAAUAGAGGUAAAACUUGUAACUUCUGCAAAAAGAAAAGACACGUUAAAUCUGAGUACUAUAAGCUACAUAACAAUAUCAAAAGGGGGGCUGUGAAUCAAAAUGGAAAACAACUAGAAAAUUUUGGUAAAGUUGAUGUUGUAGAAAACUACAACGAUGGUGAACUUCUAGUUGCUUCUGCCAACAAUUCUAAAGUUAGCGAGGAGUGGAUCCUUGAUUCGGGCUGCACCUUCCACAUAAGUCCCAAUUGGGAUUGGUUUACAACUUACAAAACAGUGUUUGAAGGUGUUGUUUUAAUGGGAAAUAAUACUUUAUGUUGAAUCAUAGGUGUUGGAAGAAUUAAAGUUAAGAUGUUUGAUGGAGUUGUCAGAACACUUAGUGACGUACGACAUGUUCCAAAAUUUAAGAGAAAUUUAAUUUCGUUGAGUACUCUUGACUCAAAAGGGUACAAAUAUACAGCUAGAAGUGGGGUUUUGAAGAUUUCCACAGGUUCCCUCGUUGUGAUGAAUGGGUAGAGAAAGACUACCAAGUUAUAUGUUUUGCAGGGUUUUACUGUUACUGGUGAUGCAACUGUCGCAUCCUCUUCUUUGUCAAAUGAUGAUAUUACUAAACUAUGGCAUAUGUACCUAGGGCAUAUGAGUAAGAAUGACAUGGUAGAAUUGAGCAAAAGAGGACUUCUUAAUGGGCAAGGAAUUUGCAAACUGAAAUUCUGUGAGCACUGCAUUUUUUGGAAGCAAAAGAGAGUUCGAUUCACUAGAGGAAUCCAUAACAUGAAAGGAAUGUUAGAGUAUAUUCAUUUUGAUUUUUGGGGGCCAUCUAGAGUGCAUUCGAGAGGUGGAGCUAAUUAUAUGCUAACUUUUAUUGAUGAUUUUUCCAGAAAAGUGUGGGUGUUCUACCUGAAGCAGAAAAGCGAUGUGUUUUUCACUUUUGAGUCUUGGAAAACUAUAAUUGAAAAACAGACGAGAAAACAAAUAAAAUACCUCCGCACAGAUAAUGGCUUAGAGUUCUAAUCUGAUGAGUUUAAUAAACUGUGUAAGUCAGAAGGGAUAGUGAGACACUUGACAGUUCGUCAUACUCCACAGUAAAAUGGUGUUGCAAAAUGAAUGAACAAAACUAUCAUGGAGAAGGUUCGAUAUAUGUUGUCAAAUGCCAACUUACCAAAGUCAUUUUGGGCCGAAGCAGCCUCUACUACAUGUUUUUUAAUCAACUGAUCUCCAUCUGUUGCCAUUAAGAAAAAGACUCCACAAUAGGUAUGGUUUGGUAUUCUUGCUAACUAUUCUGAUUUAAAGAUUUUUAGGUGUCCUGCAUAUGCUCAUGUUGAUAAUGGAAAAUUGGAAUCGAGAUUCAUUAAAUGUAUUUUUCUUGGUUAUAAAGCUGGUGUAAAAAGGUAUAAGUUAUGGUGUCCUGAAAAUAGAAAAGUUGUGAUUAGCAAAGAUGUUGUUUUUGAUGAAACUGCUAUGCUACCUAACUUAUCUCUUAAAGACUCUUCCAAUAAAAAAAAAUCAAAAGCAGGUGGAGCAUCAGAUUAAUCCAGAACCCACAACAGAGUCAACUCCUCAAGCCAGUACAAAAAUUCAAAAUAGAGUUGCUUCUUCACCAUAAUACUCAAUCGCCAAAAACAAAACUAGAAGAGAAAUUAAACCUUCAAAGAAGUAUGCCGAGGCUGAUUUAGUUGCUUAUGCUUUAAAUGUGGCUGAAGAUAUAGAUGCAAACUAAGAGCCAUCUAAUUAUUCUGAUGCUUAUGCUUUAAAUGUGACUGAAGAUAUAGAUGCUUUAAAUUUCGGGAGUGGACUUCACAGAUAUGUUUUCUCCAGUUGUGAAGUAUAGGUCUAUUCGAGCUUUUGUUGGUAUUGUGGCAAUGCAUGAUUUGGAGUUUUUACGUGUAAAAACUGCUAAUUUAUUUUCGUCCCCAAAACAUUUUUGGCUUAUACCUUGAAUGUGGAUCAAAAAAGAAAGUCUAGAGACUGAUAAGUGCUAAAAGUAACAUGUUUUAAUCUCAUUUUUAGUGUGUUUUUGGAUAAUUAUUCGAUUUAAAAUGGUGAAAUUUAUGCUCCUAAUCCUUUAAUUUAUGUUUCUAUACUUAGGAAAGGAUUUGGGAGCAAAAGGAACGAAAAUCGAAAAAUUGGAGCAAGUUUCAAGAGACAACUGGUUGGGCCAUUCUACAUGGCCAGGACACACGGCCGUGUGAGCUACACAGGCUUCCACACAGCCAAAUGCCAGACCAUGUGCAAAUCACAAAUCGCACUCCAAACCUACAGGAAAGCACAUUUUUUUAGGUAAGCAUAUUUUAUAGGUUUUUCAGGCAUUCUAAGACUUAUAUAUGAAAAAAAUAAGAAGAUGGGAGGGAACCGCCAUAGAAUAUUGAAGAAACAAAACUCAAAAAACACCAUUAAAGCUGACUCUGAAGCAGAUUUUCAUCAAGAUUGAAGAUCUCCUUUUGAUUUCUUUGAAGUUUAUUAUGAGUUCCUUUAUUUCUUGUGGUUAUCCUGUUUUUAGGAUGUUUUUAUUUGCUAUCAUGAACUAAUUUUCUAAAUACCUAUAGAGAUGAACCCUAGGAUGGAUUCUGUUAUUUGAUUUCUAUUUUUAUGCAAUAAAUACUUGAAUCUUGUUCUAAAUUUUGAGUGUUUAACUAUUGGUUUAAUAUUUCUAGGCUACUAGUCCAUGUUUGAUGUGCUUAAAUCAGAGGAUGGAUAGACCUAUUUAAGAGUAGAUCUAGCGUAAUUGAGUGAAGUUGCAUACAAUCUUAGAAAUAGGAUGGCAUAAAUAUACCAUAUUAGAGUCAAAUCUAAUAGGGGGAUCCAUAGAUCGAAUUAAUGUGAUAAUAGGAGUUUUAAUUAAAAAGAAAUUUCAAUUAAUCAGCCUAGAGUCAGUUGCUCUUAGUCUUGAAGAGAGAUAUUAUAAUAUUUAGGGAUUUCUAUGGAUCAAGCUACUAGUACUUUUACUAUGAAUCUCUUAGAAAAGAGUUGAAUUAAUAUUUUUUAACAAAAUAGUGACUGAAAUAUUAAAUUUUAAACAUGAUAACUCAUAUGACAAUCUACGUGUAUAUGUUUUCUUAUUUUAAAAUUAUUUGUUGACGUGGUAUAUAAGAAAAGUCAUGUUAUGUUAGCAUGAAAUGCACAUGGAUUGUCACACGAGUUGUAACACGAGCACUGUUAAAAAUUUAAUGUUUUAGUCAAUAUUUAUGUUAAAGAAAAGUAAGUUGACUAUUUUUUGAAAGGUUAAUGGCUAAAUUUAACUCAAAAUAAUAAUAAUAAAGAAUAGAGACUAAUUUCACAAAAAAUGUAAAUGUCAAAGGCUAAAUUUAAAAUUCUUAAAUGAUGACAUGACAUAAUCUCAAAGUGUCACGCUAUCACUCUUUGAUAGAAUUCAAGUUCAUGGACUAAAUCAAAAAAAAAUUGUUAAGUUCUGUUAUUAACCAUUUCUUUGUUCUUCAUUUUUUUCCUUUUGCUUUUUAGGUUCCAUAAUAAAAAAAUGGAUGGGAAAUUUCUAAAAUCAUUAGAAACAAGAAAAUAUGAUCUCAAAUCCAAUAAAUUACCCAAUCAAGUUACAGAGACUUAGGACCUGGCUAUGGGUGAAUUCAUCCCCUACAUUUUAGUAGGCACAGGUGGAUUUCAAGAACACAAAUAAUUAAAUUGGCUAAAUUUAUUCAUAUCCACCAAAUUAUUGGAAUUUUCAAAUAUAUUCAAAAAAUUAGAAGAGACAUUGGAUGAAACCACAAACAAAAUCAAAUUGAAAGAAAAGCAAAAUGACAUGGAAGGAGUAAAAGAAAAUAUGACUAAAUUGCCUGAAAAAUUAGCACGUAUGUUAAGCAACAUUAAUGAUAAAACACAUAGGAUACAACAACUACAUAUUUUUCACAUGCCAACCAACCAAUUUAUUUUUGUCCUUUUUGGUGUAAUUAAGGUAAAAUGAAUUUAAUUAUCUUUCAUAGAGUAAAUAAUCUUACCAACCAACCAACAACCAAUUUAUUAUUCACAUGCCAACCAACCUAUCUAUUUUUGUCCUUUUUGGUGUAAUUAAGGUAAAAUAAUCAGAUCCUAAGAGAUUGUUUGCAAGUCAAGUUAAACAAAAUAUAUCUUCUUUCUAGAAGAUUUAGUAUUUAUGAGUAUAAUAUAUUUAGCAUUUAUUAGCAUAAUAUAUUUGACUUUGAUUAGAAUUAGAUUUUUUUCAACCUAUAAAAGAUAUAAUCGAAACUCCUCUUGAAAUCAUUCGAAUUCGACAUAGUGAAUUUUCUUUUCCUCUGCCGGUGGUUUUUUACCCGAACGGGUUUCGACGUAAAAAUUUGUGUGCUUUUUAUUUUAUUUUUCUUUUCUUUGUGAUAUAUUAUCAUUGCUGACGUUCUAUUUUUUACAAAUUGGUAUCCGAGCUUCCAGGUUGUUCAUCUCAAUCAUGGUAAUGGCGUCUUUAAAGUUUGAAAUUUCACUGUUGGAUCGCAACACUAGAUUUGUGUUGUGGCAGAUAAAGAUGCAAGUAGUUCUUGCACAGAUGGACUUAGAGGAAGCCUUGCUGUGGUAGAUAAGAUGCCUUCAACAUUGACGGUGGAAGAGAAGAAGCGCAAGGAUCGAAAGGCGUUAACACAGUUACAUCUGCAUUUGUCUAACGAAAUUUUACAGGAUGUGAUAAAUGAGAAGACCGCCGCUGGAUUAUGGAAGAGGUUGGAACAAAUAUGUAUGUCGAAAACUCUAACUAGCAAGCUGCAUAUGGAGCAGCGUCUUUAUGCUCAUUGUUUGGAGGAAGGUGUAUCUGUGCAUGAACACUUAACAGUGUUUAAAGAAAUUCUCUCAAGCUUGGAGGCCAUGGAGAUUUAGUAUGAUAGGGAAGAUCUAAGGUUGAUUCUACUUUAUUCGUUGACCCCGUCUUAUUCAACCUUUAGAGAUAUGAUUUUAUAUAACCGCUAGUCUCUCACAGUUGAUAAGGUUUAUGAUUCUUUAACCUCGUAUCAUAAGAUUAAGUAUCUUGUUGUUAAAAUCAACUCUUAGGGAGAGGGUCUCAUGGUUCGUGAGAGACACAAUCGGGAUGUUGAUGAUGAUCGUGGAAGGACACAGGAAUGACAUCCUCGUGAUAAAUUUAAGGGUAGAUUGAAGUCUUCAAAUAGAUGUAAAACUUGUAACUUCUGCAAAAAGAAAAGACACGUUAAAUCUGAGUACUAUAAGUUACAUAACAAUAUCAAAAGGGGGGUUGUGAAUCAAAAUGGAAAACAACUAGAAAAUUUUGGUAAAGCUGAUGUUGUAGAAAACUACAACGAUGGUGAACUUCUAGUCGCUUCUGCCAACAAUUCUAAAGUUAGCGAGGAGUGGAUCCUUGAUUCGGGCUGCACCUUCCACAUAAGUCCCAAUUGGGAUUGGUUUACAACUUACGAAACAGUGUUUGAAGGUGUUGUUUUAAUGGGAAAUAAUACUUUAUGUUGAAUCAUAGGUAUUGGAAGAAUUAAAGUUAAGAUGUUUGAUGGAGUUGUCAGAACACUUAGUGACGUACGACAUGUUCCAAAAUUUAAGAGAAAUUUAAUUUCGUUGAGUACUCUUGACUCAAAAGGGUACAAAUACACAGCUAGAAGUGGGGUUUUGAAGAUUUCCACAGGUUCCCUCGUUGUGAUGAAUGGGUAGAGAAAGACUACCAAGUUAUAUGUUUUGCAGGGUUUUACUGUUACUGGUGAUGCAACUGUCGCAUCCUCUUCUUUGUCAAAUGAUGAUAUUACUAAACUAUGGCAUAUGUACCUAGGGCAUAUGAGUAAGAAUGACAUGGUAGAAUUGAGCAAAAGAGGACUUCUUGAUGGGCAAGGAAUUUGCAAACUGAAAUUCUGUGAGCACUGCAUUUUUUGGAAGCAAAAGAGAGUUCGAUUCACUAGAGGAAUCCAUAACAUGAAAAGAACGUUAGAGUAUAUUCAUUUUGAUUUGUGGGGGCCAUCUAGAGUGCCUUCGAGAGGUGGAGCUAAUUAUAUGCUAGUUUUUAUUAAUGAUUUUUCCAGAAAAGUGUGGGCGUUCUACCUGAAGCAGAAAAGCGAUGUAUUUUCGCUUUUGAGUCUUGGAAAACUAUGAUUAAAAAACAAAAGGAAAACAAAUAAAAUACCUCUGCUCAGAUAAUGGUUAGAGUUCUGCUCUGAUGAGUUUAAUAAACUGUGCAAGUCAGAAGGGAUAGUGAGACACUUGACAGUUCGUUAUACUCCACAGUAAAAUGCUGUUGCAGGAUGAAUGAACAAAACUAUCAUGGAGAAGGUUCGAUAUAUGUCGUCAAAUGCCAACUUACCAAAGUCAUUUUGGGCUGAAGCAGCCUCUACUACAUGUUUUUUAAUCAACCGAUCUCCAUCCGUUGCCAUUAAGAAAAAGACUCCACAAUAGGUAUGGUCUGGUAAUCUUGCUAACUAUUCUUAUUUAAAUAUUUUUGGGUGUCCUGUAUAUGCUCAUGUUGAUAAUGAAAAAUUGGAAUCGAGAUUCAUUAAAUUUAUUUUUCUUGGUUAUAAAGCUGGUGUAAAAAGGUAUAAGUUAUGGUGUCCUGAAAAUAGAACAGUUGUGAUUAGCAAAGAUGUUGUUUUUUUAUGAAACUGCUAUGCUACCUAACUUAUCUCUUAAAGACUCUUCCAAUAAAAAAAAUCAAAAACAGGUGGAGCAUCAGAUUAAUUUAGAAUCCACAACAAAGUCGACUCCUCAAGCCAGUACAAAAAUUCAAAAUAGAGUUGCUUCUUCACCAUAAUACUCUAUCGCCAAAAACAAAACUAGAAAAGAAAUUAAACCUCUAAAGAAGUAUGUCGAAGGCUGAUCUAGUUACUUAUUCUUUAAAUGUGACUGAAGAUAUAGAUGCAAACCAAGAGCCAUCUAAUUAUUCUGAUACGAUUAGCUUGAAGACUCAGAAAAGUGGAUGUUUGUUAUGUAAGAGGAGAUGAAAUCACUCCACAAAAAUCAAACAUUGGAUCUUAUGAAACUUUCUAAAAAUAAAAAGGUUGUUCGUUGUAAAUGGGUGUUUAAAAAGAAAGAGGGGACUCUAGGAGUUGAAGAACCCAGAUAUAAAGCAAGGCUUGUUGCAAAGGGUUAUAGUCAAAUUUCGGGAGUGGACUUCACAGAUAUGUUCUCUCCAGUUGUGAAGCAUAGGUCUAUUCGAGCUUUGCUUGGUAUUGUGGCAUUGCAUGAUUUCUUAAGCAGUUAGAUGUAAAAACUGCAUUUUUACAUGGAGAAUUUGAGGAGGAUAUUUACAUGCAACAACCAGAGGGUUUUACAAUCUCAGAAAAAGAGGACUAUGUUUGCUUGCUGAAACAGUCCAUUUACGAUUUGAAACAGUCAUCAAGACAGUGGUAAAAGAGGUUUGAUUCCUUUAUGACUUCUUAUGAUUUUAAAAGAAGUAGCUUUGAUAGUUGUGUUUACUUUAAGAAAAACAGUGAUGGUUCUUUUGUUUAUCUACUCCUUUAUGUUGAUGACAUGUUGAUAGUAGCGAAAGAUAAAUGAGAGAUAAGAAAUGUCAAAUUCUAAUUAAGUGAAGAAUUUGAGAUGAAAUAUUUGGGACUAGCAAAGAAGAUAUUUGGCAUGGAGAUUCUUAGAGAUAGAAAAGCAAGUAAAUUGUACCUAAGUCAGAAGGGGUAUAUUGAGAAAGUUCUUUGCAGAUUCAAUAUGCAGAAUACUAAGCCUGUUAGUACUCUUUUAGCAGCCCAUUUUAGAGUUUUAUCGACUUUGUCUCCACAAUCAGAUGAUGAGAUUGAGUACAUGUCACAUGUUCCAUACUCUAGUGUAAUGGGAUCUCUCAAGUAUGCUAUAGUUUGUCCACGUGUAGAUUUAUCAUAUGCAGUCAGUGCAGUUAGUAGAUACAUGGCGAAUCCCGAUAAAGAACAUUAGAAAGCAGUUCAGUGGAUUUUAAGAUACUUACGAGGUACUACUGAUAUUUGCUUAUAGUUUGGAAGAACUAGAGAUGGAGACAUUGGGUAUGUUGAUACUGAUUUUGCUGGAGACCUUGAUAGAAGAAGAUCUCUCACAGGUUAUGUAUUUACAAUCGAAGGUUGUGCAAUCAGUUGGAAAGCCACUUUGCAACCCACAGUUGCUUUGUCUACCAUUGAAGCUGAGUACAUGACGAUUACUGAUACUUGUAAAGAAGCUAUUUGGUUGAAGGGACUUUUUAGUGAACUCAAUGAAAACCUUCAAAUCAGUACAGUAUUUUGUGACAGUUAAAGUGCCAUCUUCCUUACAAAAGAUCAAAUGUUUCGUGAGAAAACAAAACACAUCGAUGUUCGGUAUUAUUUUGUUCGUGUUAUUAUUGCUCGUGUUGAAAUUGUUGUGACCACAAUUAGUACUCAUGAAAAUCCUACAGAGAUGAUGACUAAGUCAUUUCUUAUAACCAAUUUUGAGCAUUGCUUAGACUUGAUUGGUGUUCAUUGUUGAAAUUAAACCCUUAAGGGGUUUUAUGGAAGAGGUGGAGAACUUGUUCGUUGAGAGUUCGCGAUAAAGAACUUGUUCAUUGAGAAUUCGUGUCAAGGUGGAGAUUGUUAGAGUUUUGUGACCCAAAUUCUAAAAGAUUGCUUGCAAGUCAAGUUAAACAAAAUAUAUCUUCUUUCUAGAAAUUUUAGUAUUUAUGAGUAUAAUAUAUUUAGCAUUUAUUAGCAUAAUAUAUUCGACUUUGAUUAGAAUUAAGUUUUUUUCAACCUAUAAAUAGAUGUAGUUGAAACUCCUCUUGAAAUCAUUCGAAUUCGACAUAAUGAAUUUUCUUCUCCUCUGCCCAUGGUUUUUUUCCCGCAAGGGUUUCCACGUAAAAAUCUGUGUUCUUUAUUUUAUUUCUCUUUUCUUUGUGAUAUAUUGUCAUUGCCAAUGUUUUAUUUUUAACACAUAGAUUAAAUAAUCUUACCAACCAACCAAUUUAUUUUUGUCCUUUUUGGUGGGCUUUCGAGUCUACAAGACAGGUAGCAAUAGUUAUUGAGGAGCUAGUCACGUUUUAAAUAUUUUCUUCUAAGUAAGCACAACAACAUUAAGAAAUUUAUUUUUUAGAGUCUAUAUAAGGAAAAGGGCCUUAGGAUUUUCUAGUGCCACACUCACUUCAACAACAGACACUUCAAAUUUUCAAGCAUACAACAGCAGCAGCAGCCAGCGAACUAAUCAAUUGUUUUUAAGUACUAAUAUUUAGGGAUAAAGUAAUAGUUAAUUAUCUGAAUAUUUUAUAAUAGGGACGAAGUUAUAAAAGAAGUUGAAUUAGAUAUCUUUAUACAAGUUAAAAUACAAUUUAAUCAUAUUGGUUUGUAAUUUUACAUAUUUUAAAGGGAUUAGAUCAAAAUUUUAUCAUUUUGGAGGUUGAGAUGAAAUUUUACCGUGUAUUAACAUGUAAAAUUAUAACUUUUAAAGGCACCCAAAACAUAAAUUUCCAUUUUAGGUGGCCGAAGCCUUGGUUAUUUAUCUACUUUGAUCUUUGAACUUCUUUUUGUCUAAAUUAAUUCGAAAAUUUGAUAGUUUUUCCUAGUUUAGUCCUUGAACCUUGGGUUAUGCUACAUCAUCACUUGUAUUUUUUAUUAAAAAUAAUAAUAAUUUCUUUUUCAUUCUUUUUAGAUUUUAUUUAAGUUUUUUAAAAUUUUCAAAUGAUGACGUGACAAAAUCUUAAAGUGGCAUGCUAUCGCUCUUUAACGGAAUCCAAGUCCAUGGACUAAAUAAAAAAAUUGUUAAGUUCAAAGACUAAAUAUUAUUUUAUCCCUAAUAUUAGUUACCCUGUUUUAGAAGUUGAUUGAAUUUCUUGCUUGCUUACUUUUGUUAUUAACCGUUGCUUUGUUCUUCUUCUUCUUCUUCUUUUUAAUUUUAGGUCCCGUAAUUGAAAAAAGAUGCAUGAGAAAUUUCUAAAAUCAUUAGAAACAAGAAAAUAUGAUCUCAAAUCCAGUGAUUUACCCAUAUCAAGUUACAGAGACUUGGGCCCCGGCUAUGGUGAAUUCAUCCCCUACAUUUUAGCAGGCCAAGGUGGACUUCAAGAACACAAACAAUUAAAUUGGCUAAAUUUAUUCGUAUCCGCCAACUUAUUAGAAUUUUCAAAUAUAUUCAAAAAAUUAGGAGAAACAUUGGAUGAAACCACGACGGAAAUCACAAACAGGAUCAAAUUGAAAGAGAAGGAAAAUGACAUGGAAGGGAUAAAUGAAGAGAUGGCUAAAUUGCCUAAAAAUUUAGCACGUGUGUUAAGCAACAUUGAUGAUAAACCAUAUAGGAUACAACAUAUGGAGUGUAGCUUGGAAAAGAACAUGUAUAAGAUCAAUAAGGAUCAAAUUAAAAUUAUGAAAGAAUUGAGGGACUUGAAAAGGGAAAUAAAAGAGUUAAAGGAGGAUGUGAAAGAAGUUAAAAUAAAAAUUGAAAUUUUUAAAAAUUUCAAAAGUUUUCUUUGAUUUCUUAAAAUUUUUUAUUAAAUCUCUUAAAUUUUAUUUUCAAAAAAAAGAAUUUCAUUAAACACCAAAAAUGAAAUAGAUUGAAUCCAACAUCCAUGAGUUACAAAAUUAUCAUAUAUAACAAGAGCUUACAAAAAGACUAGUGUUACGGAAAAUGGCUUACGGAAAAUGACUUACUUUUCUGAAAAAGCUAAUAUUUUCUAGUGUUUGGAUAAAUCUGUGUAAAAUAUUUUCUUUUGUUUGGAGGUUCUUUAAAAAUAUUUUAUAAAAGUCAUUUUCAAUUAAACAAACAUACAUUUGAGAUUUUUUUUAUUUUUUUAUUUUUUCAUUGUUUAAUUGAGUUUAUUUUAUACCUAUAAUUUUAUAUUGUACAUUGUUUUUACAUAUAUUAAAAAUAUUUUGUUAAAUUUAGGUUCAUUGCAACAAUCAUUUUUUAGUUACAUGACUACCAAUUGAGUUUUUUUGUUUAAAAAUGUUACAUUAACAAAAUUGAUAAAAAAAUUAACAAUGUCAGCAGUUGGACUUGAUUUUCAAAUCUAGAAAGGAGAGGGACUAAAUUCUUGAAAAUAAAAGUACAGAAACUAAAUUGCAAAUUUGUGAAGAGUAUAUAAACUUAUGAUAUAUCUUAACAUUUAUACUACAAAACAAUUAUUAUUAAUAUAUUUAUAAUUGUAAUAAAUAUUUAGUAUUAAAGUAUUAAUAUUGAUAUUUUCAAUAAUAUGUGAAUAAUAUUAUUUAAAAUUACUAUUAAAAUAAAAUUUAAAUAUUAAAUAAUUUAUUAAAAAUAAUAAAUUAUAUUAAUAAUUUAUUAUAUGACUAAAUAUAAAUAAUUAAAUACGUAUUUUAAUAAUAUUAAAAAAUAUAAUAUUUUAUAUUAAUAUUUUAAAUAUUUUAAAAAUAAAAAUAAAAUUUAUUAUCAAUAUAAUAAUAUUAAACUUGAUUUAAGUUAAUUUUUAUAUAAAAGUAAAAUUAUCUAUUGAGGAGCUCUUUUCCGGAAAAUGACUUACGCUUUUCAAGAGGAUAAGUAAUUUUACAAGGAAAAAGGCUUAUUUCCAUUGACCUGUAAGUUAUUUUCCGUUGACCAAGCUGUUUUCUGUGAAACAAACACAGGAAAAUGCAGAAAAUAUUUUCCGUAAAACCUUUUACAUGUAAACAAAUGGACCCUUACUUUGGUUGAUGUAUGGUAUAAUAAGUCUGCAAAGCACCAAGCAAAAGUGCAGUAAUGGCACCCACAAAUGCCAAAAACGUCCGAGGACUCCUAAAUUAAGUAUGAUAACCUUGAGCUGCAUGAUUAAUCCACGUAGUCUUACAAUGAUUAUGUAUUUGCCCUUUAACCCUACUGUAAAUCAUCGGACCAGGAACCAAAUCAGUGUUCAUCAUGUAAAUGAUAUAAUGUCCAAAUUGUCUAGUGUUACUUCACAUGGUUGAUUUCAUUUGUGAAUUAAUGAUUGUGGAUUGACAACAUUGACUAUUCUAUGCACGGGGAGUGUAACACCUCAAACCCGGCCUAGACGUUAUGGUCGAAUCCUGGAGUGUUACAAAGAAGGGUUUUGAAAUCAGUGUUACUUCGAUAAAACUUUGUAUAGUCGUUCGAUAAAUCAUCCAAGUUUUAUAAUCCAUAUUCGUUUAUAUAACUAUUACUGAAAGCGUUAUACAAUUAAUUCAUUUGCCAAAACAUAAUUUACAGCGGAAGUCAUUUUCAUAAAUCGUUUUGACAAACCAAACAGGAUAGAAAACAAUCGAAACCAAAACCAACAGUUAAAAUCAUACAGUCCAGAGAGUCCCAAAAAUGACAAACUCUCAAAUAAAUUCAUAAUUUUAAUUAAAACCGUUAGUUAUUAAGUAAAAAUAGUUCUCAAUCGAGUGGUCAUCGCUGAGCCUCUGUCGUACUGACCUGCCGAAGUUUGUGGAUUACCUGAACAGAAUAGACAAAAAGAUGUGAGUUUUCAUAAACUUGGUGUGUAACCCAACAAAAAUAGUCAUGCAGCAUACACAGAAUCUCAUAUACAGUCAGAUACAGAUUCGGACCUAUGUCCAUGACAGAUACAGAUAGCAGAAUCAGAUAAGAAGAAUCAUACCCCCAUCCUCUACACACCAUCUCCGACUAUCCCAUCACACCAUGUGGGGUUAAAAACACCCACCCAACCCUACACACCAUAUAGAGUCAAUGCGACGCAUAACAGAUAAUAUGCAAUCAAUCUGCUAGAAUAAAGGCAAAGAAUCGCCAUACAAAUCACUUCCUCCACAUAUACAAUUCCCACCCCAAACACAGAUACAGAAUACAGAUGCAAAAAUAUCAGAGUAAACAUGCUUAACAUGCUCGUAUACAAAUGGAUACAUACUUAAACAGUACAGUCCGACAUACAUAUAGUAUCCUAAUCAAAUUAGUCUAUCAGAAUAUCAUAGCACAUAAAUUAGGGUUUUGGUUAGCCCUUACUGACCCUACGGCAGGUCCACAGUCGAUCGGAAUGACACCUGUGACCCUAGGGAAUAUUUCAGAAUUAUGGGCCCACAUGCCUAUAUGGGCCCACACGUCCAGAUUGGCCUUACCUGCAUGGGAACAUUAGAAGGUUCAAAAUACAAUUUUAUUAUUAUAUUAAUUUAUAAUUUCAUAAAUUUUAAAAGGAUUAAAUGAUAAAUUUACUAAUUUAAAAAGACAAUAGGGAUGGUAAAAUCUAAUUGAACCUAUCUGCGUUCGGAUCGGGAUGGAUUUUUUUUAAUUUAAAAAAUUAAAUAGAUUGAAUCGAAAAUCUAGGAGUUACAAAAUUCUCAUAAAUAACAAGAGUUUACAAAAAGAACACUUACUUGGUUGAUGUAUGGUAUAAUAAGCUUGCAAUCCACAUAUACAAUUCCCACCCCAAACAUGAAUAUAGAAUACAGAUGCGGGAAUAUCAGAGUAAACAUGCUUAAAAUGCUCGUAUACAGAUGGAUACAUACUUAAAUAGUGCAAUCAAACAUACAUAGGUCCACAAUCUAUUAGAAUAUCAUAGCACAUGGGUCCACAUGCCCGUGUGGGCCCACACGCCCAGAUUGGCGUUGCCCAUGUGGCCCACAUGGCCUGGCCCAAAACCCACACGGCCGUGUGGGCCUACAUGCCCAACUUGGCCUAGCCCGUGCGACCCACAAGGUCACACUCACACAAUCACACGACCAUGUCUUGUGCGCGGCCAUACCUUCGUCAGUCACAUGGCCGUGUCUCGCACAUGGCCAACCACAUGGCUUGGCUCACGCCCUUGUGGCAUUGACAGUGCCCUUUUUUAGCUUUUGUCGAACCUCAAUUUUUCAUGUUUAAGGUACACACAUGGUUCAUUUUAGAUGCCUAGCAAUCCUGAGCCCUCUGAAACCUAAGAAAUAGCAUCCCAUUGACCAAUUAGCAAUCAAUUUACGAAUCGACACUUAACCCGAAAUAACGCACAUAACUUACCGAAGACACGAAUUGGCACGAGCGCGAUCUAGGCUGUCGAAGUAAAAAUUCAUUGCUCACAACCUUCUCCUACACCACAAAUUUGCAGAAAUCAAACCCCCUAUCUAUGCUACUACGCUACCACGAAAAGAAAAUAAACUGAUAGCUUACCCAAAUCACAUAAAAAUGUCAAGUCCAGAGUGCAACGUGAAGAACAAAAGAUGAAAAAACAAGUUUGAAGGAAAAGAAAACGAACGAAAAAAUCAGAGAUUGAAGAGGAGAAAAAGGAAGAAAUGUAAAAGAAUAAAUAAAUAAAUAAAAAGAGUAGAAACUGACGUCAGAAUUUUUAGAGAGAGAGAACCUAAAUUUUGAAAAAUAAAAAUAAAAUAAGAUAAAAACAAUAUCACAACUCCCCCCACUCAAACCAGCAAAUUCAUUCUGAUAUAAUUAAAUUUACAAACAAUAUUCCAUAAACUUGCCUAAUAGGGAUAAGGCUAAGACCAAAAAAAUAACAGAAUUUUCAAAUGUGAGACUUGAAUACUAGACCUCAAACACAUACCGAAAACACUUAGCCACUAAAGUAAAAACAUAUUUAUAUUAGGAUUUACAGAAACAUAUUUAUAUCAAGAUUUACAGAAAUAGAAAUAAAUUAUUCAUGGCGUUACAGAUGGGUAGUACUCCUUUUUCUACCAUUUCACUACCCAUUGCAUUCAAUUUCUCUGCCCUACUACUCCUCUGCACUGCACUGUCCAAUUGCAUUUAAAGAUAAUGUAUACAUAUAGAUUGUAAAUUUUCUUGGCUGGAAGCUCACUGGAAGCCAAAAUCAAAACAAACUUUUGAUGGUUUAAUUGUUUUUUAGCCCUUGAAUUUCAGGUGCUAUGAGAAAUGAAUUACAACCUCAUCUUGUCAUUAUCCCAAAAUCAAAACAAGCAACUCUUGGUUGAAAGUUGAAACCAAGGGCCAAGUCAAAAUUGUUUUAGGACGAGUCCAAAAUGAACAAUGAUUUUGAAGGUUCAAAAUACAAUUUUAUUAUUAUAUUAAUUUAUAAUUUCAUAAAUUUUAAAAGAUUAAAUGAUAAAUUUACUAAUUUAAGAAGACAAUAGGGAUGGUAAAAUCUAAUUGAACCUAUCUGCGUUCGGAUCGGCAUGGAUUUUUUUAAUUUAAAAAAUUAAAUAGAUUGAAUCGAAAAUCUAGGAGUUACCAAAUUCUCAUAAAUAACAAGAGUUUACAAAAAGAACACUUACUUGGUUGAUGUAUGGUAUAAUAAGCCUGCAAAGCACCGAUAGAAAGUGCAGCAAUGGCACCCACAAAUGCGAAAAACGUCCAACGAGUCCUAAAACAAGUAUGAUAAACUUUAGCUGGAUAUUUACUCCACAUAUUCUCACGAUGAUUAUGUAUUUGCAGUUUAACAUGUCAUGUAAAUCAUCGGACUAGGAACCAAAUCAAUGUUCAUCUUCUUGAUAAGCUUAGCCACUUCUUUAUCACUCCCAAAUCUAUGGUAUAGUAUGCCGGCGCCUCUCAGUUCCUUAACAUCUUCGGCUUCAUCGAUCAAUGAAUCAAGGAAACCCAUAUAUGAAGUGACGGUGAAACUGUUGAAGAAAUCCGGACACAUUUCGUAAGCUAUUAAGUUCACUGUUAAAUCAUCGACGGUGAUCGGCGGUAACCAUAAAUUUCCGAGGAAGAAGAAAGGGCUGAAACUGAUGUCUGUUAAACAACUUGUUUCGCUUGCUUUUAACCUUAUCCCGGCUUUUUUAAGCUCUUUUACGUUCCUUAAGGUGUGUGAAUGGUGCCCUUCUAUUCUUGUUUGGUUGCUGCGAUUUUUCAAGUUCAUGAAAAAUCGAGUGCAAAACCUACAAUGCCGCCUUGGUUUUUCUUUUUCUUUUUUCUUUAUUGAAAGGAGUCUUACUCGUAGUAGAUGCAAUAAGUGAAUUCGCUCUCCUUGCUGCGGCCACCAUUCACUACAGCAAAAUCUGUGUUAGUCGGAAGCCAGCUAAAAUUAAGGUUUUCAACAGUUGAAUCUAUAAGAUCAUUGAUUUAUAAGUUCAAUUUAUCCGAUUUGAAUAAAAAAUUUAAUCCUUUUAAAAAUUAUUAAAUUAUAAUUUUUUAUAUAUAAUAAAAUUAUACUUUGACUCCUUAAAAAAUGAAGAAAAAAAUUGUUUAACUCUUUCGGAAAAUGAUAAAAUCAUAAAUUAAUGUAUAAAGAAAAUUUAAGAAUCAAACUAAAUUUAUCGGUGGGCCUGGUUAAACAGAGAAUCGUGCAAGGUAUUAAUCUAGAAUAAUGAGUUAGACUCAUUGAAUCGAGUGGUCGAAUAGAUUUUUUUAUAUUUUUAAUAUAUCUUUAAUAUUUUUAAAAUUUUAUAUAAUUGAAUCCAAUUAACUAAUCAACCAAAAAUAGACUCUAAUCGAUUCUAUCACCUAUUUUACAUUUAUACACUCCACAAAAUGAUUCUUUUGUACAUUCCUUAAAUUACCUGUCCUGCUGAUGUGAUUGUGGCCCUUUAACAGUGACGUCGAUGAACCUUAUGAUUGCCUUCAUGAACUUUUUGCCAUUAUUGCUCAAGCUUGUAAGCAAUUCAAGAACACGAAAAGGUAUUUGGUUCUCCAACAAUAACAGAUCCGAGUACACCAAUGUCAGCAAAUCGUUUUUAAUAACCAAUUGGCCAUAAACAGCAUAAAAAUCAUCAUUAGUACCGUAAUGCAUAUAAAUUAAUUGUAAAAUUGCGCAGCCGUCAACGAAGAACAUCCAAGCCAGUUUCUCGUUAUCGUUGCCAUACUCCUCUAAUUCCGUUGGAUCAUAGCAUUUCCUCAAGCCAUCGAUCUCUUUCUUCAUGUUUCUGUACAAGGAAUCCUUAUCGACGCCAAUGUUUUUGACGAAAUGUGCUGCUAAUUUGAGCUUGAGCUCCUUGGAUUCAUGGAGGGUGGGAUCAUCGUGGUGGAGUGGGCCGAUUGAGAUCACUUUCGGCUUGAAAUACUUCAUGAAAUCUUCGGUACGGCAAAGGGUUGAUGGUACUUUUCGUAUCAAUGGAUUGGCUGUGAAGUUGGGUUGGCCGCCGUCCAAAGCUUUGUCUAAUGACUGGAGAUUCGCUAAUUCGUCAUUGCUGAGAGGGACGUCCGUGCACCGCAUAUCAAUGCUCACGGAAUCGUUGUUGGUGUUGUUGUUGAUGGUUGUUUGAUCAGUGGAAACUGCUCCGACGGCGCCGCCUCCUUCCUCCGUGGACGACAUUUUCAGGGUGAGCGGUUGGAAGUAAUAAACAAGGUGAUUUUGUAAACUGUGCUUGGCUGAGUGAGUGAUGUUGGAGAAAAGGUGGCAAAAUGGCUACGAUGAUGGCAAAUAUUUUAUAGCUUACAUAAUAAACAUAUAUGGGAAAUACUUGAGGUGUAAUUUAAAUUUACCCCUUAGUGUUUAUAUUUUUACUAAUAUAAUUUUUAACUUUUAAUUUUUUAAUUAAAUUUAAUUUUCUUUUGAAAGAGUCAAUCUUAAAAAAGAAAAGUUAAAUUAAUGUUUUUUUAACAAAAAUAGUGACAAAUAUAAUAAUUGUCCUUAAGAAGUAAGACCCUAUGAUUGGGAGAAUUUUACAUUUUCAACACUUCUUAAAUUUCAUACACUUAAAAAUACCUCCAUGCUUCUUUACGUAUAAUAAUUGCAUUUGUUAUUCUACCUAACUCAUGAAAAAUCUCAAAUUUGCAACAAAAUAUUAUUCACAUGCCAACCAACCACUUUUUUUUUAUUGAAGUUAUUAUACUUAUAAGCUUUAUGCUUCUUGUAACAGAUUCGAUCUACAGGGCACUAUAGUUAUUGUCGGAGCAACUACAGUCAGAAUUACAAUAAGAUAAUUUUUAUUUAAACAUCAAUCAUGAUGCAAUUAAAGUAAUACAUCAAUUAUGAGCUUUAAUCGAGCUUACGAAAACUUUUUUGGCUGUCCGAGCAAGAAUUAGGACCAAACUGCAAAGUAAUUGCAUUUGUUAUUCUACCUAACUCAUGAAAUAUCUCAAAUUUGCCAACCAACCAAUAUAUCAUUCCAACCAACCAAUUUAUUAUUCACAUUCCAACUUUCUAAAUGCAUCAAAUAUUUCAUAUUCAUGUACUAACAAAGAUCAUGCCAAGAACCCACAUGCAGAGUCAUUAUAUACCACAUUUAACUCAACAAGACUUUUACACAACCAAAGAUUACUCCAAACGUUUAUAUGCAUGUCGCAAUCCUUGACUCAAAUGAUAAAAAAAAACACCAAAUUGACAAUAAAAUAGUGUAAGCUUCGAACGAUCCAAUCGACAUGUUCCACAAUGUAACACCUAAAAGGAAAAAGAAAACAAUGGGGUAAGCAUAUAAGAUGCUUAGGAAACUCAUAUGUAAUCUAAAACUUACCUAGAUUAAUUGAACAUAAACAAUUACUCAAUAAGCUAUCAAAUUUAUUUUUCCAUGGCACGUAGAUAUCGUAUAUGUAACAACAUUUCAAGUCAAAAAUGUUAAAUACAAUGUUGAAUCAUUAUGUCUUCUUUUCUUAAGUUUCACUUAUAGAAAUACAAUAUAGGUUCAAGUACAAAUAUAUGUCUCGAUUAAUCUAGAAAGAACUAGACAAAAUUCACAUAUGAUAUAGGCAUAUAAUGAGUGUGAGACUCACACAUCACAAUUGAGAAUAAUGUUAUAGAAAACCUUUGCGUUAAGCAAGAAGCUAAGACCCUAUCGGAGGGAGAAUUUUAUAUCUACAACACUUAUUAAAUUUCAUUAGCUUAAUAAUAGCUAUUCAAAUAUUUAACAUUGUAACCAUGCUUGUUUACAUAUCGUAAGCGCAUUUGUUAUUCUACCCAACUUAUGAAAAAUCUCAAAUUUGCAAUUUAUUAUUCACAUGCCAAACAACCAAUUUAUUAUUCACGUGCCAACCAAUUUGUUUUAUCGAAGUUAUUAUACUUAUAAGCUUUCACAUAUAACCAUGCUUCUUUACAUAUAUUAAUUGCAUUUAUUGUUGUACCUCAUGAAAAUUUUCAAAUUUGCAACAACAUAUUAUUCGCAUGCCAACCAACCACUUUUUUUUUAUUGAAGUUAUUAUACUUAUAAGCAUUCACAUUUAACCAUGCUUCUUGUAACACUUUUCAUUGGAUCCAAUCGUUGGGUCCGAUCUACAAGACGCUAUAGUCAUUGUCAAAGCAACUACAGUCGAAAUUACGAUAAGAUAAUUUUCAUUUAAACAUUAAGCAAGAUUCAACUACAGUAAUACAUUAAUUAUGAGUUUUAAUCGAGCUUACAAAAGCUUUUUUGGUAGUUCGAACAAGAAUUAGGACCAAACUAUAAAGAUUUGAAAAGUUUGGAGCGACGUCACAACUUCAGCUUUUCCUCAUCGCAACAUGACCAUCUCAGUAUGUCACAUCAUAUCGAAAAGCCUAUGCUCGUCGCGGCGAGACUCUUUGACUUGGCAAUGUCGCAAUGUCAAAAUUUGUAGCCGUUAUGUAAACCCUAUAUUUGACAAAAAUAUACAAUUUGGUACCUAAAUCAAAGCUCCAACUAAAAUCAUGCAAGAAAAAUACAUUACAUGCCAUUUCUAAAUGACUUAAAACUUACCUAAAACAUGCUAAGUAAGUUCAAACGUAUCAUUUCAAUUCCAUAGAAAUUCAUAAAACUUACCUAAAACAUGCUAAGUAAGUUCAAACAUAUCAUUUCAAUUCCAUAGCAAUUCAUAUUACCAUUUCAUCCAUUGUAUUCAACUUUUCAAUAACUUUAACUAAAUAUCAACAAGUUAUACAAACAUCUACCAUUACCUUUAUCAUGCCAUAAUGAAUCAUUUCAUUUCAAACAAUCAUCACAUUAGUUCUUUAAUUUUUCUUUUUUAGUCAACAUAUGCAAACCAACUUAAAUAGAUCACAUUCCAGCAUAGUCAACAAGACUUUUACACAACCAAAGAUUACUCCAAAAAUGUUUAUAUGCAUGUCACAAUCCUUCACUGAAAAUGAUAAAAAAAUCUACUAAAUUGACAAUAAAAUAGUUUAAGCUUUGAACGAUCCAACCGACGUGUUCUACAAGGUAACAACCUAAAAGAAACAAAAGAAACAACAGGAUAUACAUAUAAUAUGUUUAGUAAACUCAUAUGGAAACUAAAACUUACCUAGAUCAAUUGAACAUAAAAAAAUUACUCAAUAAGCUAUCGAAUUAAUUUUUCCUUGGCACUUAUAUACAUAUAGUACAUGUAACAACAUUUCAAGUCAAAAGUGUUAGAUACAAUGUUGAAUCAUAAUCCCGUCAACAUUUAAAACAUAAUCACAUAGCAAUCUAUAUAUCAAAUUUCAUCAAUACCAAUUCAUUUUCAAUUCAAGAUUUAAUUCCAUUUUCAACCAUUUAAUCAUCCUCUGAUGGAACUAUAGUAAAAAAGGUGCAUGGGAAUAUUUUGCUGAACUGACUCACACAAGUUGACUUUAUAUUAGAAUUGUUCACACACGUUAACUUUGUAAUUUAUAUUAUGUAAAAUUUAAGAUUUUUAUAUUAUGUAAAUCAAAGCUUAAUUAGUAUAGAAUUUUCAAAAUAAUAUGGCUGUAUAAAGAUAAAAUUCUUGAUAUAAGUCUCAACAAGGGAAAAAUUAAGGAUAGAAAAAUUGUGGUGGAAAGGGGAUCAAUUUCUCCUAAACAGGUGGAGAGCCGGAGAAUGAUAAGUGAAGGAAGAUGGUUGAUGUGAAGGCUAAGAGUAAUUGUUAAAGGUUACUAACAGGGGAAGAUCCCUUUCUCAUGAAGAUGAUUUUUAAACACCAUGUUAAUUGUUUAUGGGCCAUCAUGUUUGACGAUAAUUUUUAAAUACCUUGUUAAUUGUAUAUAGUACAUCAUGUUUGGCAAUGAUUUUUAAAGACUUUUAAACGUCACAUUAAUUGUUUAAUUGUUUAUGGCCCAUUGCCCAUGUUACUUUUAUUAAAUUUUGGGUAAACUACAAUUUAAUCACUUAAUUUUUAUAAAAUUUCAUUUUGGUCAUAAAAAAAUUGUAUGGAAUGAGAGUCUCAGGAUAAAACAAAAAUUAGGAUAAAUGUAAUGCUGAAAUGAAUAUAGUGGGAAUCUUUAAUGUUUAUGGCCAAACCCCACCUCUCCUAUCCUAUACUUCAUCUAUAAUAAUGGUUCUUGGCUUCUUCUAUCCUAUACCUCAAUUAUUUGGAUUAGAUUGAAAAACAAUUGACACUUGAUUUGAUUGUGAAAGAAGUUUUAGUUUAAUGAUAUGAAUGAGUUAAAUUUUAAAUUUAUAAUAUUUAACUUGAGUGUGAAUGAAUUUUUGACUUAAUUGAAAAUUUAAAAUUUUAGCUUCGAGUCUUAUUUAAUUAUGUGAGUAUAUCAUAUAUAAAUUUUGUUUAAAUUUAUUUUGAUUUAAUUCUCAUACUAUAUAAACUUUAUUCUUAAUUAAAUUUAGAUAUAUUCUAAUUAUCAAUUUAAUCAUAUAUUGUAACGAUGAAUUAGGAUUAUAGUUAAUUAUAUAUUGAAACAAAAUAAUGAGUUUAAGGAAUUAAAAGAUAUUAUUAUAUUUUAUAAAAAUUGAAUAGAUUAAUAAUUAAUUCGAGAUUAAAAAAUUGUCUAUCUUUAUUUCGCCCCUCAGUUUAAUUUAUUAUUUUCCCUAAUUUUAAAUCCAAAUAAUAAGGAGAAGAAAAAGAUAAAAGCAAACCUUUUUUACGGUCUGAACUAAACCCCAUGGGGUGUGGAAAAUUGCAAGUUUCCAGAAUAACGAAGUUCAGUUUUCGUCGGUGUUUCUAUGUGACUGUGUUUCUAUGGUAAGGAAUGGUGUAAAAAAGUUUACGGUUUAAGGUUUUGUUAUAUACGGAAGGAAAGCGCCUUUCAAGAUUAUUAGUAGCACUUAUUCUCGUGUUGUGUUUUGUAUUGAGUUGUACCUUUUUUUAGUGUAUGUAUUGUGGACCUGUGGUACAAGUUUAGUUCUUUUGAGUGUCUUGUGAUGUUAAGUAUGUUUUGUUGGGGCUCUUGGCUCCUAUGAUAAUAAAAUAUAUUUCAAGCAUAGUACUUUUUUUAUAUUUAAAAUUUAAUAUUAUACUUUUAUUUUAAGGUAAUCUCUCUACUACAACAAUGUUUAAUAUUAAUAUGAACUCAUGUUGCGAUUUACUAUUACCAACUAAUUGGAAUGCAACAUCUAUUUAAACUUCAACAUGAAACUAAAUUCUUCUAUAUAAACUAGAAAAAUAUCAUUAGUUCUUAAGUAAUUUCACCUCAAUCCAAUGACCAUUGUAUAGUCUCAAUUUUAUUCGGCCCAAACAAAUAAAAAGUCCAUUAACAGUCGCGGCAAGACUCUCUGACUUGGCAAUGUCGCAAUGUCAAGAUUCGUAGCCGUGAUGUGAACCCUAUAUUUGACAAAAAUAUACAAUUUGGUACCUAAUUCAAAGCUCCAACUAAAAUCAUGUAAAUGACUUAAACUUACCUAAAACAUGCAAAGUAAGUUCAAACAUAUCAUUUCAAUUCCAAAGCAAUUCAUAUUACCAUUUCAUCAAUGAAUCAUUCCAUUUCAAACAAUCAUCACAUUAGUUCUUUCAUUUUUUCCAUUUUAGUCAACAUAUGCAAACCAACUUAAAUAGAUCACAUUCCAACUUUCCAAAUACCAAGCUAAGACCCUAUCAGAGGGAGAAUGUUACAGCUACAACACUUCUUAAAUUUCAUUAGCUUAAUAAUAGCUAUUCAAAUAGUUAACAUUGUAACCAUGCUUCUUUACAUGUAGUAAUUGCAUUUGUUAUUCUACCUAGCUUAUGAAAAAUCUCAAAUUUGCAAUUUAUUAUUCACAAGCCAAACAACCAAUUUAUUAUUCCAACCAACCAAUUUAUUAUUCACAUGCCAACCAAUUUGUUUUAUUGAAGUUAUUAUACUUAUAAGCUUUCACAUAUAACCAUGCUUCUUUACAUAUAUUAAUUGCAUUUAUUGUUGUACCUCAUGAAAGAUUUUCAAAUUUGCAACAUAUUAUUUGCAUACCAACCAACCACUUUUUUUUUAUUGAAGUUAUUAUACUUAUAAGCUUUCACAUGUAACCAUGCUUCUUGUAACACAUUUCAUUGGAUCCGAUUGUUGGGUCCGAACUAUAGGAUGCUACAGUCAUUGUCAAAGCAACUACAGUCAGAAUUAUGAUAAGAUAAUUUUCAUUUAAACAUCAAUCACGAUUCAAUUACAGCAAUACAUUAAUUAUGAGCUUUAAUCGAGCUUACGAAAGCUUUUUUGGCAGUCUGAACAAGAAUUAGGACCAAACUGUAAAUUGGCUAAAUUUACUUAUAUCCACCAAAUUAUUAAAAUUUUAAAAUAUAUUCAAAAAAUUAGGACAAACAUUGGAUGAAACCACAAGGGAAAUUACAAACAGGAUCAAAUUGAAAGAAAAGCAAAAUGACAUGGAAGGAGUAAAAGAAGAGAUGGCUAAAUUGCCUGAAAAUUUAGCACCUAUAUUAAGCAACAUUGAUGAUAAAACACAUAGGAUGGAACCUAACUCAUGAAAAAUCUCAAAUUUGCAACCCCAUAUUAUUCACAUGCCAACCAACCAAAUUUUUUUGUCCUUUUUAGGGUCUACAAGACAGGUAGCAACCAUUAUUGAAGAAUUAGUCACGUUUUAAAUAUUUUCUUCUAAGUAAGCACAACGACAUUAAGAAAUUUACUUUUUAGAGUCUGUAUAAGGAAAGGGCCUUAGGAUUUGCUACUGCCACACUCGCUUCAGCAACAAUCGCUUCUAAUUUUCAGUCUGAGCGGUUCGAAGUAAUUAACUAGGUGAUUUUGUAGACUGUUUUUGGCUGAGUGAGUGAUGUUGGAAAAAAGGUGGCAAAAUGGCUACGAUAACGACAAAUGUUUCUAUAGCUUAUAUAAUAAACAUAAGGAAAAUAUUUUUGGUGUAAUAUCAAAUUUCGCUUCUAAUUUUUAUUAUUUUCAAUUUGAUUUUUAUUUUUUAGUAAAAUUUAGCUUUUUACUUUUGAAAGAGUUAAAUUGAUUAUCAAUCCUUAAACUGAAUUAAUAUUUUUCAAAAAUAAUGACUAAAAUAUUAAAUUUUAAACAUGAUAACUCAUAUGACAAUUCACGUGUACAUUUUUUAUUAUUAUUUUAAAAUUAUUUAUUGACAUAGCAUAUAAGAAAAUGAUUAUUAUGUUAGCAUGAAGUGCAUAUGGAUUGUCACACGAGUUGUAACACCAACAACGUAAAAAAUUAAUAUUUUAAUCAAUAUUUCUGUUAAAGAAAAGCAAUUUGACUUUUUUUUUGAAAGGUUCAUAGCUAAAUUUAGCUUAAAUAAUAAUAAUAAUGAUAAAAAAUAAAAGUCAAUUUGACAGAAAAUGUAAAUGUGGAGGACUAAAUUUAUUAUUAUGUCAUUUUUCUAAGUUUCACUUAUAAAAAUACAAUAUAGGUCCAAGUACAAAUAUGUGUCUGGAUUAAUCUAGAAAGAACUAGACAAAAUCUAUACAUGAUAUACGCAUAGAUGAGAGUGAGACCCAUUUUUAUAUCUACAACACUUCUUGAAUUUCAUACUCUUAAUACUAGCUUUUUUGUUGUUUGUUUCGCUUCAUUUGAUCUGUUUUGUUGUAAAAAAACAUAAAGAAAAACAUUCAAAAGUUUAACGUUAUAACAUUCCAAAAGAAAACACAUUCAAUAACUAACAUAUCUUGUAUUCUUGUAUUCUUUGAUCAAAUAGUGCAAGUGUAUUUAUACAGACUUUUGGAGGGUAACUACUGAACUGCUACUAACAACUUUUUAGCAGAAAGUUUAACAACUUAACCACCUAACAGAUUGCAUUUACCUAUGCUCUAAGAUUCUGUAAUGCGAAAUCAUACUUCAAAUUGUAAUUAUUACUUCAUAACAAUACAAGAUUUUCGUUACAAUGCUAGGAUUACUUAUAAACCUCAACCAUUAAAUGAGAGGAUAAAGACACUUUAAUAAGUUCGAAUCUUCGUCCUUUUGUAUUGACAAUAAUACUGAUAUCAAUCGAACUAAAACUCAGUAUAACAAUGGUUAAAUGAAUUUUAAGUACACAUAUUACUCUUACUAUGUAAGUAUUUAGGAUAAAUCACCCUCCAUGGUCAAACAAAUGGACCCAGGCUAUAAUUUGUAUAUAAAAAAAAUUAAAAAGCAUUAGUAAAACAAAUGGACCCAGGCUAUAAUCACCCUCCACUCAUUAACAAUUGUCAUCACAGGCUUAAUGUGGCAUGUUAACUAAUUGAUGUGACUAGUUAACUUGCCACGUUGGACAAGUAGUCAAAGGGUCAAAAAGAAAAAAAGAUGAUUGGUUAAGGGUAAAAAGAAAAAUAAGAGAAAUGAAGAAGAAGAAGAAGAAGAAGAAAAGAAGAACAGGGAAGGAAGAAGGGAAAAUGGAAGUAAAAGGGUCAAAAAGAAAAGAAAAGAUGAUUGGUUAAGGGUAAAAAGAAAAAUAAGAGAAAUCGAGAAGAAGAAAAAAUGAAGAACAGGGGAGGAAGAAGGGAAAAUGGAAGGAGCUUCCAAGCUUCAUACCAACGAUUCCCAAGGGUCAAAAUCUGGGAACUUGGAUUUUGAUCCUUGGGAAUCACUGUUACGAAGUCCUUCCAUUUUCUCCUUUUCUUCUUUUUCUCCAUUUAUUCUCUUAUUCUUCUUUUUUUUUUGUUCUUCUACUGCCCAAACUUCUUAAAUGGGUUUGUUUAAAUGACAGCUAGCCUACCCUUAAAUGCCAUUCACUUUUUCGUUACGUUUUGUUAAAAAGAUUGUUUAAAUGACAGAAAAUGGUUAAAAAGAUUGUUUUGUUAGCUACCCCAAAAUUGAGUGAUUGUUGCUGUAAUUUACCCCAUUUCUUAUUUGAAAUUGUAAAUUUUUAACAAGCUAAAUUUAAGGUUUUCAAAAUUCAACUCAUUAAGUUAUCGAUUUAUAAGUCUAAUUGGUUUGACGAAUUCAUCCGAUUAAUUAAAUUAAUUAUUAAAAAUUUUUGAUUUGAUUGCCCAAUUCAAUUAGUUUUUUUUUGGUUCAACCUGUUCAUAUAGAUUCCCAAGUCGAUUGGUCCAAUGAUUUCCUUCGGACUAAUACCUUAAUUAAUUUCCAAUCCAAAUCGAUUCAAAUAAUAUUAACUAAAAUACAAUUUUUAUUAUUUUAUUAAUGCAAAAAUUUUACCAUUUUAAAGAUAUUAAAAUAUAAAAUUUCUAUUUUAAAAAGUUGGAUUUGAAAUCAUAAUUUUUUUCCUAAAGAAAUGUACACUCAACAGGACCAAAGGAAUUCACAGGGAAAUUUUGUUUUAUGGACAGUCUUCAUCACAAAUGAUCCUAUCAAAUUAAAAGAGGAUAUAUCACCUUUUUUUCAUAUCAUAUAUACAUUGGGACUAAACUUCUAAAUAAAAAAUGAUGUGUCUUUUUUUAAUUGAGUGGGACCAUAGAUGAUGUGGUGAAAAUGGUCCAUUAAAUAAUUUAUCACAAGCAAGAGUAAUUCCAAAAAUAGAAAACUACAUUUUAAUUCUUUAAAAAUUAUUAAAUUAUAAAUUUAUAUAUUAUAAAAUUACACUUUGAUCCUCAAAAUGGAAAAAAUAUUUUGUUCAGUCUUUGACCACACCUAAUAAAAAGGAUUGGUGGUGACUCCAUUUUCGUUUUUUAAAUAAAAAGUCAAUUCCCAAAAAAAAGAUUUCGACAACCAUCACUUGGAUAACUUUGGUUAUCAGCUCAUGACACUUAGAGCUAUACAAUAUAUUUGGUGUUUGGCACAAUAUGGCAUACAUAGUAGUUUUCACUACUAAAAGAUAUGGUGCCUUACUCAUUCUUCUCUUAUCUUCCAAAGUUUUAGGAUUCAUAUCAUUCGAGUGAUGUACACUGUCAAUACUAUUUUUUUUGUAAAAGAGGUCGACUUUUUGUUUAAAAAUGAAAAUGGAGUCACCACCAAUCCUUUUUAUUUAGGUGUGAUAGGAUCACCUCGUAAUUUAAUCAUUUUAAUAAAAGUUUAAAUUUACUAAAAAAAUAAGUAAGUUAGUUUCUAUACAUCAGAUCAAAGAGCAAAUUGAUCAUUUUAUUACAUUUUUAAUCUUUUUCUAUCAUUAAAAAUUGAUUCAUAUACAUAAGUUUGAGGUACAGUGUCACGUCACAUGUUAUGAUUUGGUUAUUCCGUUAGUCACACCAGUUUUUAACAUUACAAAUAGAUGAAAAUUUUAACAGAAAUGACCAAGUUACUUUUUGAUCUAACAUAUAGGGACUAAUUUACUCAUUUUUCAAUAUAGAGAGCAAAAUGUAAUUCAACUCAAUGUACAAGGACUGUUAUUUUUUUUUCCAAUUUCACAUUAUUUUAUCAUAUUAUAUAUAUUGUUAGGAUCGUCCCGAUUAAGCAACGAACAAGUAAAAAUAGUAGAAGAAAUUGAGAAGAUGAACACACAAAUUUAACGUGGAAAAACCCCUCAAAAGAGGAUAAAAAACCACGGGCAAAGAUAAUUUUACUAUAAUGGCAAAAGAAUGAAGAGUACAAAAGAUGGAGAUAAAAACUAAACCCCGAAAACUCGAAAAACAAAGAACCCUCAAACGUAAACACAAAAUUCUCUGAAUGUGUUAUGAGUUCUAAUCUAAUGGGUGUCUCUUUUUAAUUCUAAGAUUGUAAAGGAGCCUAUUUAUAGGCUAAAUUAGUAAGUCAAAUAAACUAUACUAAUAAAUGCUAAAUAUAUUAUACUAAUAAAUACUAAAUCUUCUAGAAAGAAAAUAUAUUUUUGUUUAACUUGACUUGCAAGCAAUCUCUUAGAAUUUGGGUCACACAAUUCUAACAAUCUCCACCUUGACACGAAUUCUUUCAAUGCCAUCUUUGCCAAAACCCGCCACGAGCCUAUCUUGAACUAUGCAGGGAAUUAACUGAGUCGAAUCUAUGCUUAGAAGCUAGAAGACUUCUAGCCUUCGACUUGUGCACUGCCAAAUCAAAACUAACCCGGGUCUGAUUUUCACGAAUACAGUGCCCUAACUUUUCAAAACCUGCAUCCAAAAGAGAACCUCUCUUCAACGAAACGGUCAUACCUUUUUCCCUCCUAUGACCAAGUUGCCUCCGCUUCAAAUGAGUUGACUUUGACUCCGUAACGGACGAGGGACGUCCGAUUUCACCGGUCACUGUAGAACCUUCCAGAAUAUAAAGACUGCCGGUUCUUUUACCUUUUAACAAAACGAGAGCUCCACGAGAUACUUUAAUGUCGCUCGACUCGAUGUUGAUUCUGCAUCCUUUCAAGUCUAAAAUACUCAAGGAGAUGAGAUUCUUUCGUAAAUCGGGUACAUACCUGACAUCUGAGAGUGUCCUAAUCGUCCCAUCGUGUAUCCUAAUUUUAACAGUACCAAUACCGAUUAUUUUACUAGAUGAAUCGUUUCCCAUGUGCACAACUCCACCUUCAACUGAACUGUAUGUGGAGAACCAUUCUCUAUUGGGACACAUGUGGAAAGAACAUCCUGAAUCUAGGAUCCACUCAGACGUAAGCUUGGAGUUAUCGCUCGUUGACACUAACAAGAAAUCAUCACCGCCUUCAUCGACCAAAUUAGCACCAGCUACAUCUUCCUCGUUACUCUCAGCAGCUCUUUUAUUUCGCAGUUUAAAACAAUCUGCUUUGACGUGACCUAACUUUUUGCAAUAGCGACACCUUUUGUCUCGUUUCUUUGAUGCUACCAAAACGGAAGCUUGUCUAUCUGCUUUGCUAUUCAAAUCAAACUCAUUGUCGAGUUUGUCUCUACUCAACAAAUAACCUUUCACAUCUUCAAACGAGAGUUUGUCUCUGCCAUAAAUCAGGGUCUCCCUGAAAGACUUGUAUGAAGAGGGUAAAGAGCACAAUAAUAGCAUAGCUUGAUCUUCAUCGUCAAUAUGAACCUCAACGUUCUUUAAAUCAUUUAAAAGAGUAAUGAAUUGAUUGAUGUGAUCUUUAAGAAGCUCACCUUCGUUCAUGCGAAACGUAAAUAGACGUUGUUUCAACACUAAACGGUUAGCCAGAGACUUAGUCGCAUAAAGAGUUUCUAACCUUUUCCACAAGGCGAAUGAGGUCUUCUCCAUCAAUACCUCCUGCAAUACUGUAUUCGCGAGACACAACUGGAUUGCAGACAAGGCCUUUUCAUCAAGCUCUUCCCAUUUUGUUUGAUUUAGAUUCUCAGGCUUUUUCCCUGUAACAACCUUUUUCAAGCCAUUUUGAACUAGAAUUGCCAUCAUCCGAACUUGCCACAGAUUGAAAUUUGUCUCACCAUCGAACUUCUCAAUUUCAAACCUUGUUGCUGCCAUCUCUGACCGGGCUGAUCUAUGAAAGUUAAACUAUCUCUGAUACCACUUGUUAAGAUCGUCCCGAUUAAGCAACGAACAAGUAAAAAUAGUAGAAGAAAUUGAGAAGAUGAACACACAAAUUUAACGUGGAAAAACCCCUCAAAAGAGGAUAAAAAACCACGGGCAAAGAUAAUUUUACUAUAAUGGCAAAAGAAUGAAGAGUACAAAAGAUGGAGAUAAAAACUAAACCCCGAAAACCCGAAAAACAAAGAACCCUCAAACGUAAACACAAAAUUCUCUGAAUGUGUUAUGAGUUCUAAUCUAAUGGGUGUCUCUUUUUAAUUCUAAGAUUGUAAAGGAGCCUAUUUAUAGGCUAAAUUAGUAAGUCAAAUAAACUAUACUAAUAAAUGCUAAAUAUAUUAUACUAAUAAAUACUAAAUCUUCUAGAAAGAAAAUAUAUUUUUGUUUAACUUGACUUGCAAGCAAUCUCUUAGAAUUUGGGUUACACAAUUCUAACAUAUAUAUAUUAGCAUACGCCUAUCAUGCAAAUGGUAUAAUGUCCAGAUUAUCUGGUCUUUGAUUUCAUUUGUCAAUUAAUGAUUGUGGAUUGACAAUAUUGACCAUUUUAUGCACGGGGACUACUCAUCUACUCCUCUUCUGCCAUUCUCACUACCCAUUUGCAUUCAUUUUCUCUGCCCUACUGCUCCUCUGCAGUGCACUCUCCAAUUGCAUUUAAAGACAAUAUAUACGUAUAGAUUGUAAAUUUUCUUGGCUGGAAGCUCACUGUAAGCCAAAAUCAAAACAAACUUUUGAUGGUUUAAUUGUUUUUUAGCCCUUCAAUUUCAGGUGCUAUGAGAAAUGGAUUACAACCUCAUCUUGUCAUUAUCCCAAAAUCAAAACAAGCAACUCUUGGUUGAAAGUUGAAACCAAGAGCCAAGUCAAAAUUGUUUUAGGAUGAGUCCAAAAUGAAUAAUGAAUUUGAAGGUUCAAAAUAAAAUUUUAUUAUUAUAUUAAUUUAUAAUUUCAUAAAUUUUAAAAGGAUUAAAUAAUAAAUUUACUAAUUUAAGAAGACAAUAGGGAUGAUCAAAUCUAAUUGAACCUAUCAGCGAUCGGAUCGGGAUGGAUUUUUUAAAUUUAAAAAAUUAAAUAGAUUGAAUCGAAAAUCUAGGAGUUACAAAAUUCUCAUAAAUAACAAGAGUUUACAAAAAGAACACUUACUUUGGUUGAUGUAUGGUAUAAUAAGUCUGCAAAGCACCGAUAAAAAGUGCAGCAAUGGCACCCACAAAUGCGAAAAACGUCCAACGAGUCCUAAAAAAAGUACGGUAAACUUGAGCUGGAUAUCUAAUCCACAGAUUGUUUUGAUGAUCAUGUAUUUUCCGUUUAACCCCACUGUAAAUCAUCGGACUAGGAACCAAACCAGUGUUCAUCUUGUUGAAAAGCUUAGCCACUUCUUUAUCACUCCCCAAUCUAUUGUAUAAUAUGCCGACGUCUCUCAGUUCCUUAACAUCUUCGGCUUCAUCGAUCAAUGAACCAAGGAAACACAUAUAUGAAGUGACGGCGAAAUCGUUCUGGAAAUCCGGACACAUUUCGUAAGCUAUUAAGUUCAUGGUUGAAUCAUCGACGGAGAUCGGCGGUAAACAUAAUUUUCCGACGAAUAAGAUACGGUUGAAACUGAUGUCGGUUAAAUAACUUGUUUCGCUUGCUUCUAACCAUAUCCCGGUGUUUUUAAGCUCUUUUACGUUAUGAAUGGUGUGUGAAUGGCACCGUUUUGUUCUUUCUUCUUUUCUAUCUUCGUGUUCAAUGCAAAACGGAAAACACCACCGCCGUAGUUUUUCUAUUUUGAAAAGGAGUCUUUUAUGAAUUCCCCACCCCCGUGGUUUUUCUUUUUUGAAAAGGAGUCUUACUCGUAGUAGAUGCAAUAAGUGAAUUGGCGUUCCUUCUUGCUGCGGCCACCAGUCACUAGAGCCAAAUCUGUGUUAGUCAGGAGCCAGCUAAAAUCAAGGUUUUCAAUGGUUGAAUCAAAUCAUUAUUAUUUUAAUAAAAAAUUAUUUAAAUUAUUAAAUUACAUUUUAAACCUUUUAAAAAUUAUUAAAUUAUAAAUUUAUAUACAAUAAAAUUAUACUUUGACUCCUCAAAAUGAAUAAAAAAUUGUUCAAACACUUUUGAAAAAUGAUGAAAUUAUAAAUUAAUACAUAAAAAAAAUCUAAGAAUCAAACCAAACUUGUGGAUCGGCCUAAUUAGAUAGAGAAUCGAGCAAGGUACUGAUCCAGAAUAAUAAGUUAAAUCCAUUGAAUCCAAUCAUCGAAUCGAUUUUUUAUAUAUUUUUAAUAUUUUUAAAAAUUUAUAUAUAUAAUUAAACUGAAUGAACUUAUCAACUAGAAAUGAGAGUCUAAUAGAUUCCAUCACCCAUCUAGUUAUAAAAACCUUUUAACUUUUAUAAACUCCACAAAAAUGGUUAAAAAGACUGUUUUGCCAGCUACCCCAAAGUUGAGUGAUUGUUGCUGUAAUUUACCCCAUUUCUUAUUUGAAAUUGUAAAUUUUUAACAAGCUAAAUUUAAGGUUUUCAAAAUUCAACUCGUUAAGUUAUCGAUUUAUAAGUCUAAUUGGUUUGACGAAUUCAUCCGAUUAAUUAAAUCAAUUAUUAAAAAUUUUCGAUUUGAUUGCCCAAUUCAAUUAGUUUUUUUUUUGGUUCAACCUGUUCAUAUAGAUUCCCAAGUCGAUUGGUCCAAUGAUUUCCUUCGGACUAAUACCUUAAUUAAUUUCCAAUCCAAAUCGAUUCAAAUAAUAUUGGCUAAAAUACAAUUUUUAUUAUUUUAUUAAUGCAAAAAUUUUACCAUUUUAAAGAUAUUAAAAUAUAAAAUUUCUAUUUUAAAAAGUUGGAUUUGAAAUCAUAAUUUUUUUUCUAAAGAAAUGUACACUCAACAGGACCAAAGGAAUUGGCAGGGAAAUUUUGUUUUAUGGACCGUUUUCAUCACAAAUGAUCUUAUCAAAUUAAAAGAGGAUAGAUCAUCUUUUUUUUCAUAUCAUAUAUACAUUGGGACUAAACUUCCAAAUAAAAAAUAAUGUGUCUUUUUUUAAUUGAGUGGGACCAUAGAUGAUGUGGUGAAAAUGGUCCAUUAAAUAAUUUAUCACAAGCAAGAGUAAUUCCAAAAAUAGAAAAUUACAUUUUAAUUCUUUAAAAAUUAUUAAAUUAUAAAUUUAUAUAUUAUAAAAUUACACUUUGAUCCUCAAAAUGGAAAAAAUAUUUUGUUCAGUCUUUUUUUUUUAAAAAAAUAUGAACUUAUAAAUCAAUACAUGAAAAAAUUUAAGCGUCAGGCUAGUUGGAAAGAAAAGAUGAUUGGUUAAGGGUAAAAAGGAAAAUAAGAGAAAUGGAAAAGAAGAAGAAAAGAAGAACAGGGGAGGAAGAAGGGAAAAUGGAAGGAGCUUCCAAGCUUCAUACCAACGAUUCCCAAGGGUCAAAAUCUGGGAAUUUGGAUUUUGAUCCUUGGGAAUUACUGUUACGAAGUCCUUCCAUUUUCUCCUCUUCUUCUUUUCUUCUUUUUCUCCAUUUCUUCUCUUAUUCUUCUUCUUUUUUUUUGUUCUUCUACUGCCCAAACUUCUUAAAUGGGUUUGUUUAAAUGACAGCUAGCCUACCCUUAAAUGUCAUGUCACUUUUUCGUUACGUCUGUAACGAAAAAUGGUUAAAAAGACUGUUUUGUCAGCUACCCCAAAGUUGAGUGAUUAUUGCUAUAAUUUACCCUAUUUCUUAUUUGAAAUUGUAAAUUUUUAACCAGCUAAAUUUAAGGUUUUCAAAACCCAACUCGUUAAGUUAUCGAUUUAUAAUUCUAAUUGGUCUAAUGAAUUCAUCCGAUUAAUUAAAUUAAUUAUUAAAAAUUUUCCAUUUGAUUGCCCAAUUCAAUUAAUUUUUUUUGGUUCAACCUGUUCAUAUAGAUUCCCAAAUCAAUUGGUCCAAUGACUUCCUUCAGACUAAUACCUUAAUUAAUUUCCAAUCCAAAUCGAUUCAAAUAAUAUUGGCUAAAAUACAAUUUUUAUUAUUUUAUUAAUGCAAAAAUUUUACCAUUUUAAAGAUAUUAAAAUAUAAAAUUUCUAUUUUAAAAAGUUGGAUUUGAAAUCAUAAUUUUUUUUCUAAAGAAAUGUACACUCAACAGGACCAAAGGAAUUGGCAGGGAAAUUUUGUUUUAUGGACCGUUUUCAUCACAAAUGAUCUUAUCAAAUUAAAAGAGGAUAGAUCAUCUUUUUUUUCAUAUCAUAUAUACAUUGGGACUAAACUUCCAAAUAAAAAAUAAUGUGUCUUUUUUUAAUUGAGUGGGACCAUAGAUGAUGUGGUGAAAAUGGUCCAUUAAAUAAUUUAUCACAAGCAAGAGUAAUUCCAAAAAUAGAAAAUUACAUUUUAAUUCUUUAAAAAUUAUUAAAUUAUAAAUUUAUAUAUAAUAAAAUUACACUUUGACCCUCAAAAUGGAAAAAAUAUUUUGUUCAAUCUUUUUAAAAAAAUAUGAACUUAUAAAUCAAUACAUGAAAAAAUUUAAGGAUUCGACAAAACUUAUCGGUCAGGCUAGUUGUUGAGAAAAUUGAACAAGAUAUUGAUCCAGAAUAAGAGAUUAGAUUAGAUGAAUUGAGUCAUCGAAUGGAUUUUCUUUAUAUGUUUAAUAUAUCUUUAAUAUUUUCAAAAACUUAUAUAACUGAAUCGAAUAAACUAAUCAAUCAAAAUUAAGAGUAAUCAAUGUAAAAACCUUUUAACAUUUAUAACCUCGACAAAAUGAUUUUUUUAUUUAUUUUUAAAUUCCUUAAAUUACCUGUCCUCGGCUGGGGUGAUAACAGUGUCGUCGAUGAACCUUUUGACUGCAUUCAUGAACUUUUCGCCAUCACUCGAGCUUGUAAGCAAUUCAAGAACACGAAAAGGUAUUUGGUUCUCCAACAAUAACAGAUCCGAGUACACAAAUGUCAGCAAAUCGUUUUUAAUAAACAACCGGUCAUAUUCAGAAGAAAUAUCAUCACCGUAACGCAUAUAAACUGCUUGUAAAAUUGCGCAGCCGUCAACGAAGAACAUCCAAGCCAGUUCCUCGUCAUCGUCGCUAUAGUUCGCUAAUUCCUGUGGAUCAUAGCAUUUCUUUAAGUCAUCGAUCUCUGCCUUCAUGUUGCUGUACUCCUCAUUGUCGUCAAUGUUUCUGACGAAAUGUGCUGCUAAUUUGAGCUUGAGAUCAUUGGAUUCUUGGAGGGUGCCAUCAUCGUGGUGGAGUGGGCCGAUUGAGAUCACUUUCGGCUUGAAAUACUUCUUGAAAUCUUCGUUACGGCUAAGGGUUGAUGGGACUUUUCGGAUCAAUGGAUUGCAUGUGCCGUUGGAAGCUUUGACUAAUGACGCGAGAUUCGCUAAUUCGCCCUUCCAGCGUAGCAAGUCAAUACGAAUGCUCACGAAAUCGUUGUUGUUGGUGAUUGUUUGAUCAGUGGAAACUGCUCCGACGGCGCCGCCUCCUUCCUCCGUGGACGGCAUUUUCAGGCUGAGCGGUUGGAAGUAAUAAAGAAGGUGAUUUUGUAAACUGUUUUUGGCUGAGUGAGUGAUGUUGGAGAAAAGGUGGCAAAAUGGCUACGAUGAUGACAAAUAUUUUAUAGCCUACAUGAUAAACAUAUAUGGGAAAUACUUAAGGUGUAAUUCAAAUUUACCCCUUAGUGUUUAUAUUUUUAUUAAUAUAAUUUUAAUUUUUUAAUUAAAUUUAAUUCUCUUUUGAAAGAGUCAAUGAUAAAAAAGAAAAGUUAAAUUAAUAUUUUUUAACAAAAAUAGUAAUAAAUAUUAAAAUUAAGAAUAAUAUUAUAGAACCUAAAUACUCAACACAACCCAAAACCUUCGCCUUAACCAAGAAACUAAUACUUCCUAAAUUUCAUUAGCUUAAUAAUAGCUAUUCAAAUAUAUUUUUUCAUUGUAUUACUUAAAUUAUUAUUACUUACUUUAACAUUUAAAUUAUCAUUAUAUUACAUGAUUAGUUCCAAAUAUUUAACAUUGUAACUAUGCUUCUUUAAAUAUAGUAAUUGCAUUUGUUAUUCACAUGUUAUUCACAUGCCAACCAACCAAUUUAUUAUUCACAUUCCUAACUUUCUAAAUGCAUCAAAUAUUUCAUAUUCAUGUACUAACAAAGAUCAUGCCAAGAACCCACAUGCAGAGUCAUUAUAUACCACAUUUAACUCAACAAGACUUUUACAUAACCAAAGAUUACUCCAAACGUUUAUACGCAUGUCGCAAUCCUUGACUCAAAUGAUAAAAAAAAAAACACCAAAUUGACAAUAAAAUAAUGUAAGCUUCGAACGAUCCAAUCGACAUGUUCCACAAUGUAACACCUAAAAGGAAAAAGAAAACAAUGGGGUAAGCAUAUAAGAUGCUUAGUAAACUCAUAUGUAAUCUAAAACUUACCUAGAUUAAUUGAACAUAAAAAUUACUGAAUAAUCUAUCAAAUUUAUUUUUCCAUGGCACGUAGAUAUCGUAUAUGUAACAACAUUUCAAGUCGAAAAUGUUAAAUACAAUGUUGAAUCAUUAUGUCUUCUUUUCUUAAGUUUCACUUAUAGAAAUAUAAUAUAGGUUCAAGUACAAAUAUAUGUCUCGAUUAAUCUAGAAAGAAUUAGACAAAAUUCACAUAUGAUAUACGCAUAUAAUGAGUGUGAGACUCACACAUCACAAUUGAGAAUAAUGUUAUAGAACCUAAAUACUCAACAACCCAAAACCUUUGCGUUAAGCAAGAAGCUAAGACCCUAUCGGAGGGAGAAUUUUAUAUCUACAACACUUCUUAAAUUUCAUUAGCUUAACAAUAGCUAUUCAAAUAUUUAACAUUGUAACCAUGCUUCUUUACAUAUAGUAAUUGCAUUUGUUAUUCUACCCAACUUAUGAAAAAUCUCAAAUUUGCAAUUUAUUAUUCACAUGCCAACCAACCAAUUUAUUAUUCACGUGCCAACCAAUUUGUUUUAUCGAAGUUAUUAUACUUAUAAGCUUUCACAUAUAACCAUGCUUCUUUACAUAUAUUAAUUGCAUUUAUUGUUGUACCUCAUGAAAAUUUUCAAAUUUGCAACAACAUAUUAUUCGCAUGCCAACCAACCUCUUUUUUUUUAUUGAAGUUAUUAUACUUAUAAGCAUUCACAUUUAACCAUGCUUCUUGUAACACUUUUCAUUGGACCCAAUCGUUGGGUCCGAUCUACAAGACUCUACAGUCAUUGUCAAAGCAACUACAGUCGAAAUUACGAUAAGAUAAUUUUCAUUUAAACAUCAAGCAAGAUUCAACUACAGUAAUACAUUAAUUAUGAGUUUUAAUCGAGCUUACAAAAGCUUUUUUGGUAGUCCGAACAAGAAUUAGGACCAAACUAUAAAGAUUUGAAAAGUUUGGAGCGACGUCGCAACUUCAGCUUUUCCUCAUCGCAACAUGACCAUCUCAGUAUGUCACAUCAUAUCGAAAAGCCUAUGCUCAUCGCAGCGAGACUCUCUGACUUGGCAAUGUCGCAAUGUCAAGAUUCGUAGCCGUGAUGUGAACUCUAUAUUUGACAAAAAUAUACAAUUUGGUACCUAAUUCAAAGCUCCAACUAAAAUCAUGCAAGAAAAAUACAUUACGUGCCAUUUCUAAAUGACUUAAAACUUACCUUAAACAUGCUAAGUAAGUUUAAACAUAUCAUUUCAAUUCCAUAGCAAUUCAUAUUACCAUUUCAUCAAUUGUAUUCAACUUUUCAAUAACUUGUAACCAUGCUUCUUUACAUAUAGUAAUUGCAUUUGUUAUUCUACCUAAUUUAUGAAAAAUCUCAAAUUCACAAUUUAUUAUUCACAAGCCAAACAACCAAUUUAUUAUUCCAACCAACCAAUUUAUUAUUCACAUGCCAACCAAUUUGCUUUAUUGAAGUUAUUAUACUUAUAAGCUUUCACAUAUAACCAUGCUUCUUUACAUAUAUUAAUUGCAUUUAUUGUUGUACCUCAUGAAAAUUUUCAAAUUUGCAACAACAUAUUAUUCGCAUGCCAACCAACCUCUUUUUUUUUAUUAUUGAAGUUAUUAUACUUAAAAGCUUUCACAUGUAACCAUGCUUCUUGUAACACUUUUCAUUGGAUCCGAUCAUUGGGUCCGAUCUACAGAACGCUACAGUCAUUAUCAAAGCAACUACAGUCAGAAUUACGAUAAGAUAAUUUUUAUUUAAACGUCAAUCACGAUUCAAUUACAGUAAUACAUUAAUUAUGAGCUUUAAUCGAGCUUACGAAAACUUUUUUGGCAGUCCGAACAAGAAUUAGGACCAAACUGUAAAGAUUUGAAAAGUUUAGAGCGAUACUGCGACUUCAGCUUUUCCUCAUCGCAACAUGACCAUCUCAGUAUGUCACAUCAUAUCAAAAAGCCUAUGCUCGUCGCGGCGAGACUCUCUGACUUGGCAAUGUCGCAAUGUCAAGAUUCGUAGCCGUGAUGUGAACCCUAUAUUUGACAAAAAUAAACAAUUUGGUAUCUAAUUCAAAGCUCCAACUAGAAUUAUGCAAGAAAAAUACAUUACGUGCCAUUUCUAAAUGACUUAAAACUUACCUUAAACAUGCUAAGUAAGUUUAAACAUAUCAUUUCAAUUCCAUAGCAAUUCAUAUUACCAUUUCAUCAAUUGUAUUCAACUUUUCAAUAACUUAAACUAAAUAUCAACAAGUUAUACAAACAUCUACCAUUACCUUUAUCAUGCCAUAAUGAAUCAUUCCAUUUCAAACAAUCAUCACAUUAGUUCUUUCAUUUUUCUUUUUUAGUCAUCAUAUGCAAACCAACUUAAAUAGAUCACAUUCCAACUUUCUAAAUGCAUCAAAUAUUUCAUAGCAAAGAUCAUGCCAAGAACCCACAUGCAAAGUCAUUAUAUACCACAUUAAACUCAACAAAACUUUUACACAACCAAAGUCUACUACAAAUGUUUAUAUACAUGUCGCAAUCCUUGACUCAAAAUGAUAAAAAAUAAACUACCAAAUUGAUGAGAAAAUAGUUUAAGCUUAGAACAAUCCAACCGACGUGUUCUGCAAGGUAACAACCUAAAAGAAAAAAAGAAACAACGGGAUAAGCAUAUGAUAUGCUUAGUAAGCUCAUAUGGAAACUAAAACUUACCUAGAUCCAUUGAACAUAAAAAAUUACUCAAUAAGCUAUUGAAUUAAUUUUUCCUUGGCACUUAUAUACAUAUAGUACAUGUAACAACAUUGCAAGUCAAAAGUGUUAGAUACAAUGUUGAAUCAUAAUCCCAUCAACCUUUAAAACAUAAUCACAUAGCAAUCUACAUAUCAAAUUUCAUCAAUUUAUUUUUCAAUUCAAGAUUUAAUUCCAUUUCCAACCAUUUAAUCAUCCUCUGAUAAAACUAUAGUAAAAAAGACCUAGGUACAUGGGACUAUUUUGCUGACACUUUAACGAACUUUCUCACACAAGUUGAUUUUAUAUUAGAAUUGUUCACACAAGUUGACUUUGUAAUAAUUGCUCACACAAGCUAACUUUAUAUAAUGGAAUUGUUCACACAUCCUGACUUUGUAAAAUGCUCACACAAGCUGACUUUGUAAUACUUCCAUACAACUAAUAUUUAUGAUUCAAUUAAAUUCAAGACAAUUGUGCUAAAUUCUAACAAUUAUAUAUAUAUAUAUAUCCUUUUUUUCGGGAUCAUUCCAAAAAAAACCGUUUUUAAUUUUUGGUGCGGAACAAAAAAAAAGUGAAUUGAAUUUAAAGUUGGAUCGAGUGAAUAAAUGGAUAGAGCUCCACGGCCCCAAUUAUAGGGAAACAAAAAGUAACAAGCUUCUGUUCUCAAUUUGAAUAAUUACCUAAUCUAAUUAAACUUUAAAAAAAAAAUUAGUGCCUAAUGUGGUAAAGGUUUUUCUCAUGAGUAAAUUAUCGGUUUUUUUUUUGAGUCCUAAUUAUUAUUAUUAGGCAUUCCCUUUAUGGGUUAGCCAUGAAUGUGUAGAAGAAGCAGUAUAUUGAUAAAGAAAAUAACUUUUUUUCUAAAAUCAAAAGAGCGAUUGGGUUGAAAAAAUAAAGGAUUUCUAACCGUCAUAUAUGUUGAUUCAAAUAUAAUUCAUACCAAAAUAAAAUUGAUUAUUAAGUUAAAAUAAAAUUUAGGAUGUGAAAGAAGUUCAAAAAAAAAAUUAAUGCAAAAGAAAGAUAAGGGUAUUUUUUUUAGGUCAUGGAUGUAACAACGAAGCUCGGUUAUUGUUGGUGUUGUAUGGAAGAAUCGAAGAUGUAGUGAAUGAGUUUUUAGGGUUUUAAAGUUUAACAUUGAAAGAUUGUUGUUUGUGGGUAUGUGACUGUUUUCGAUGUAAGGAAUGGUAUAAAAAAAUUACGAUUUAGGGUUUUAUUAUAUAAAUAAAGAAAGCGCCUUUUAAGAUUGUUAGAGGCACCUAUCUUUGUUUUUAGUGUAUGUAUCAUGGUCCUGAUGAUGCGGUACAAGUUUAGUUCUUUUGAGUGUGUCUUGUGAUGUGAAGUCUGUUUUGUUGGGGCUCUUGGCUCCUAUGUUUCAAUGAUAAUAAAAUAUACGUCAAACAAAAUUCUCACAAAAAACAGAGUUUACAAAACGACUAGUAAACAACACUUACUUUGGUUGAUGUAUGGCAUAAUAAGUCUGCAAAGCACCAAGCAAAAGUGCAGUAAUGGCACCCACAAAUGCCAAAAACGUCCAAGGACUCCUAAAAUAAGUAUGAUAAGCUAGAGCUGCAUGCUUAAUCCGCAUAUUCUUACAAUGAUUAUGUAUUUUCCGUUUAACCCCACCGUAAAUCAUCGGACUAGGAACCAAAUCAGUGUUCAUCUUAUUGAAAAGGUUAGCCACUUCUUCAUCACUCCCCAAUCCGUUGUAUAGUAUGCCGGUGCCACUCAGGUCUUUAACAUCUUCGGCUUCAUCGAUCAAUAAAUCAAGGAAACACAUAUAUGAAGUGACAGUGAAAUCGUUUUUGAAAUCCGGGCACAUUUCGUAAGCUAUCAAGUUCAUGGUUGAAUCAUUGACGGCGAUUGGCGGUAAACAUAAUUUUCCAACGAAGAUACGGUUGAAACAGAUUCGUAGUAGAUUCAGUAGGUGAAUUGGACUUGCAGCUUCCACCAUUACCAUUUUCUAGAGCUAAAUCUGUGUCAAGUCAUCGAUUUAUAAGUUUAAUUGAUCCGAUGUAUUCAUAUUUGUUGAUUAAAUAAAUCAUUAAAAAUUUUGAUUUUAUUAUUUAGUUCAAUAAGUUUUUUUUUUUUUUUACAAUUCAACCUGAUUCUUAAGUCAAUCGAUCUAAUGACUUUCUUUAAACUCAUACCUCAAUUAAUUUUCAAUCCAAUAUAAUCCAAACAACAUUUCGUAAAAUAUAAUUUUAUUUUACCAUUUUGAAAAGUUGGAUUUGAAAAUGCACACUCAACAGGAUCAAUACAAAGGGACAGGCGAGGUCGUUCUCAAAAAUAGAAAAUUAUAUUUUCAUCCUUUUUAAAUUAUUAAAUUAUAAAUUUAUAUAAUAAAAUUACACUUUAACCUUUUAAAAUGAAAAAAAAAAUUGUUCAACCUUUUUAAAACUGAUGAAAUUAUAAAUUAAUAAAUGAAAAAAAAAGAGAAUGAGACGAAACUUGUUGAUCAAGCUAGUUGGAUAGAGAAUUAAGUAAAGGUGCUCAUGGGUAAGGUUGAACCCAAUAAAAGAUUUAUGCCUCAGCUUGGCCCACUCGUUUUAAUUUUUUUAAAUUUUUUUAAAUUUUUUUAAUAUAAUUUUUAAAUAUAUAUGAUACAUUAAAAAUACUAAAAAACAUUAAAAUAAAUAUUUCCCAACAAACUAAUUUUUUUUUAAAAAUAUGUAUACUUAAAUAACAUUAAAGUAGACACUGUAAAAUGGUAAUAAAAUAGGAAGAAAAUGACAAGAAACUAGCAUUAAAACAAUAAAAAAAUAACAUAUUUUUUUGUCCUUUUGUGAUUCGGGCUAGGGUUGGGCCAAAAAUGUCUUACCCGAGACUCGGCCUAUUUUCAAAACUAGAUUUUUUUUUGCCCAAGUCAAUUUUUUAGGUCUAUAUUUUUACUUAAACCCUUAUAUUUCUCGGACGAGCCAAAUGACCCAAUCUAUGAGUAAGUCUAGAAUCAAGCAAGAUACUGGUCCAGAAGAAAAGGAUAGACAAAUUGAAUCGAAUAGUAAAAUCGAUUUUUUUUAUAUUUUUAAUAUAACUUUAAUAUUUUUUAAGAUUCUAUAUAAUUUAAACGAAUGAACUAUUCAACCGAAAAUGAGGAUCUAAUCGAUUCCAUCACCUAGUUAUAAAAAUCUUUAACACUUAUAAACUCCACAAAAUAUUCUUUUUAAAAUUCCUUAAAUUACCUGUCCCGCUGAUGUGAUUGUGGCUCUUUUAUCUCGGCUGGGUUGACAACAGUGUCGUCGAUGAACCUUUUGAUUGAAUCCAUGAACUUUUUGCCAUCCCCCGAGCUUGUAAGCAAUUCAGGAACACGAAAAGGUGAUUGGUUUUCCAACAAGAACAGAUCCGAGUACACAAAUGUCAGCAAAUCGUUUUUAAUGAAAUUCGUUCGACUUACGAUCAUAAUCUUGGCCGUAACGCAUAUAAACUGCUUGUAAAAUUGCGCAGCCGUCAAUUCCUUUGGAUCAUAGCUUUUCUUCAAGCCAUCCGGCUCUGUCUUCAUGUUGUUGUACAAGGUAUCAUUAUCGAUGCCAAUUUUUUUAACGAAAUUUGCUGCUAAAUUGAGCUUGAGCUUCUCGGACUCGUGGAGGGUGGGAUCAUCGUGGUGGAGUGGGCCAAUUGAGAUCACUUUCGGCUUGAAAUAUUUCCGGAAAUCUUCGUCACGGCGAAGGGUUGCUGGGACUCUUUUGUCAAUAGUUUGGCUUUGGGGUCGAGAUGGUCCCCUUCGAAAGCUUCGUCUAAUGACCAGCAAUUCCGUGAUUCGCCAUUGCUGUGAGUGAAGUCUGUACCCGGUAUUGGAAUGAUCGUCUCUAGGGGAUUGUUGUUCGUGUUGUUAUUGAUGACUGUUUGAUCAGUGGAAACUACUCCACCGGGAGCUCUGACGGCGCCGCCUCCUUCUGUAACACCCCUAUACCAUGUUUGACUUAAGGAACCUAAUAUAAGAAUAUUACAUUUGAUGCCAAAGUAAUUCUUGGCUAAUUACUAUUAUAUUUGAACAUAAAAACAGACAAAUAAUAAAUUUAAAUAAUUUAUAUUUAAAUCCAUUACUACUACUUGGGACAUAAUUUUUUUUAAGUACAUGCCAUUCUAUUCAAAAUUUUAAAACAUACCCGUUGUUGCUUGAAGAUGUGAUGAGAUGAAAGCUUACAAUCUCAAAUUCGACUCUCAAAAAUUUAUGUACCUAAUUUGCGCAAGGAAACAAAUCGUACAAUGAGUAUACACCCAGUGUUAUUACUAUAAUUCAAAUACUUAAGGUAAAAACAAUAUAUAUACACAUUAAAUCUUACCACUAUUUUACCUUCAAUAAAUCAUUCAUGCAUUUAAACUUUAAAUUUAUUCUAAUAAUAUGUAUCUUAAAUAGCUUUUCUUUAUUUUAAUUUAUAUAUCUACUUAUUAUAUCAAUAUUCAUUUCAUGCAUUUCAUCAAUAACCAUUUCAUAAAACUAUUAUUUCAUAUAUUUCAUUUCUAUAUCCUAAUUCAAUAAUUUAUUCUAUUCCAUAUCUAAAACCUUACAACAUUAGUCUUUCAAUAAUUAUUUAAACCAACAUUUUUCAAUAAAAAUAAUUAUAAUUAAUUCAUAAGAUUAUAUCCAACUAACUCAUACACUAUUUCAUUAUUUCCUAUUCAUUCUAUUUUCACUUCUUAUUUCGAUAUCUCAAUUUCAAUUCACAUUUCAAUUCAUAAUUUCACUUUCUCAUACUUUCAAUAGCUCAAUCCAUCAAUUCAUUUGAUUUUUUCAUUUCAUUUAUUCAACUGAUUUCAAAAUCAAUAAUUCGAUAUUUUAGCAAAUUCAUGAACCUUAUGUUCAUGCUUCAAAUCUCGCAUCUUAAUGCCGUUCACAAUUCAACUCAUAAUUUCUUUCUCAUAUCUCUAAAAGUACGAUCAAUCAAAUUUAUUUAAUUUUCUCAUUUCAGUUAUUCACCUUAUUAACAAACCCGGACUUUGACGGAUACACGAAUUCCAACCCAAACACACCAGUACGGCAUAUUGUGCCUAAAACGGUACAUAGUACCUGAUCAGUAUACGACACAUAAGUGCCUGAAAUGACACACGAGGUGCCUAAUAUGACACACGAGGUGCCUGAAAUACGCAAAGCCGAUAUAUCCCGGACUCUUAUAAAUCCUAUGGCAUGCCAAUUAUAUCCGACUCAGCCCGACUAGAUAAUAGGGUAUUUCAAUUCUCAAUUCACUUUCAUUUCCAAUUCAAUAUCACUUUUCAAUUACAAUUUCUCAUUCAAAUCAAUAUACAAUUCAAUUGUACAUACACAUUCAUCAUUCAAUUCAAUUCUCAUUCAUUUCAAAAUCAAUUUUUCACUUUCUAAUCAAUAAACAAUUCAAUACCAAUACAUAUUUCAGAUAAUCACAUAUAAUCAUAUUUCGAUUCAAUUCAAACCACUUUUCAAUCAAUACACAAUUCACAUAUUCACACAUAUUCAUAAAUUAAUUCACUUUUAUUUAAUUCAUAUUUUUAAUUCAUUUUCCAAUCAAAUUCAAAUCACUAAUUACUUUUCAAUCAAUAUACAUUUCAAAUACUCACAUAUUUUCUUCAUUCAAUUCAAUUUGAUUCAAUUAAAAUCACUUUUAGUUUCCAAUCAAUAUAAUUUCAAAUAUUCACAUAAUUCGUAAUUCAAUUACUUAAAUCACUUUUAAUUUCCAAUUUGUUCACAUUCAAUUUCAAUAGCCAUAAACAUUUUUGAAUCAAUUUCAUUCAAAUCAAUAUCAUCAUUUCAAUUGCUUACCUAAUUUUAUUUGCCAUGCAUUUUAAUUCAAAUAUAACAAUUAAUAAUAAAUAGAUUUGAAUUAUAGUAGUACAAACCCGGAUUUGUUCGAUUACUCCUCGAUAACGUUUCCUUUCUUUUCGGUGCCGAUGCCUCGAUUUCUUUGGUAACUACAAAAAUAAUAAUAAUAAUUUACACUUAUUAAUAACAGCACUAAUUUAUAAUAAUGAUUGAAUUUCUAUUCAAUUUAUAUCCUAAUUCCAAUUUAAUCCUAAUUAACUCAUUUACUUUUAUAAUUCAAUUCAUACUUCAUUUCGAUUCAAUUUCCUUCCAUAUUUCACUUAACUAUCUAAUGUUCAUAAUAAAAUUAUAAUUUAAAAUUUCUUUCAAUUUAGUCCUUUCAACACAAAACUUAUAGCUUCUUUUACAAUUCAAUCCCUUACCAAAUAUAACUUGAAAUUCAUUCAAUUAAAUCCCUAAUUCAUCUUUUUGUUCAACAUGAACUAUACUUAUAAACCUAUGAACUUUCAAAGUAUCAACUUAAUUUCAUCAAAACCUUGUUCUAAAGCUUGUAAAACAUCAAAAUUAAGUAAAAAUGACUUAAUUGACUUACCUAUUAAAGUUUUAACCUUCAAACCCUAGUUUUUCCCCAUUUUCUUUUCUUUCCCUUUUCUUUCUUCUUGUUUUCGAAUGGCUUCUGCUAUUCUUUCUUUUGCUUUCUUUCUUUAUUUCAUUUCAUUUAUAUAUAUAUAUAUAAUAUUAGUUAAUAAUGAUAAUAAUGAUAAUAAUAAUUAUAAUAAAUAUCUUUUAAUAACACAUAUUUACAUUACAUUUGUCACCACUUAAUUUGUUUAUCGUACACAAAAAUCUUAUAAUAUAAUUAUUUAAUUAAUAACUAUCUUUUACUUAAUUUUCAAGUAAAUAAAUAAAUAUAAUACAAAUGUAUAUAUUUACAUUAUUUCAAUUGUCACUAUCCAAUUUUUUUAUUAGUUAUCUAAUAAAUAUCUUUUACUUAGUAAUAAUAAAUAAUAAAUAUCUAUUUACUAAUUAAAUAUAAGUAUUACAAAUGUACAUAUAUUUUUUUUACAAGUGUACAAUAUCAUCACCACCCAUUUGGCAAAAUUUUGAUUUAUUCAUAUAAUAUAAUAUAAUAUUUUUAAUUUAUAACUAAUAUAAAUUGCCAUAUAAUAAAAUAAUUAUAUACAUAAUAAUUUAAUAAUAAUUAAACAAUAAAAAUUUUAGAUUUUUAUCAACAUUUGCCGCCUCAUUUAUGGUGAAUGGUAUAUUUUCCAUUUUGGUCCCCCUUUCUUUUUAUUAAUCUAAUUUAGCCCUUAAUAUUUAUAAUUUUACCAAUUUGAUUUUUAUUCUUUUUAGUUAAAUUUAAUUCUCUACCUAGUGUCAAAUUUGACUAUUGAUCUUUUAGAAAAUUGUCGAAUUAAUGUUUUGUUCUUUGCUUUCAAUUUGGUUCUGUUCUUAAGCAAAUUUCUGCUUUGUUUCUUCUCCAAGUCACGAGUCUUGUUGUUCAAGUCAUAGCUGAACUAGCUUGCUUGUUGUUCAUAACACCAACAACCUGUUCUCGGCUGGGUUGAUAACAGUAUCAUCGAUGAACCUCCGGAUUGCAUUCAUGAACAUUUUGCCAUCACCCAAGCUUGUAAGCAAUUCAAGAACACGAAAAGGUAAUUGAUUUUCCAACAAGAACAGAUCCGAGUACAAAAAUGUCAGUAAAUCAUUUUUAAUUAACAAAUUACCAUCAUCAUCAUCAUUAUCGUAACGCAUGUCAACUGCUUGUAAAUUUGCGCAGCCGUCAACGAUGAACAUCCAAGCCAGUUCCUCGUUAUCGUCUCUAUACUUCUCUAAUUCCUGUGGAUCAUAGCAUUCCUUCAAGCUAUCCAUCUCUUUCUUAAUUUUUCUGUACAAGGAUUUCUUAUCGACGCCAAUUUUUUUGACGAAAUGUGCUGCUAAUUUGAGGUUGAGCCCCUUGGAUUCACGGAGGGUGAGAUCAUCGUGGUGGAGUGGGCCGAUUGAGAUCACUUUCAGCUUGAAAUACUUCUUGAAAUCUUCGUUACGGAGAAGGGUUGAUGGGACUUUUUGUAUUAAUGGUUUGUAUCUAAGGGUGGGUUGGCCACCAAAAGCUUUGUCUAAUGACUGGAGCUUCGCUACUUCGCCAUCGCUGAGAGGGACGUCGGUGAACCACAUAUCAAUUCCCACGUAAUCGUUGUUGGUGUUGUUGUCGAUGAUUGUUUGAUUAGUGGAAACUGCUCCGGCGGCGCUGCCUCCUUCCUCCAUGGACGACAUUUUCAGGCUGACCGGCUCGAAGUAAUUAACAAGGUGAUUUUGAAAACUUGUUUUGGCUGAUUGAGUGAUGUUGGAAAAAAGGUGGCAAAAUGGCUACGAUGAUAACAAAUCUUCUAUAGCUUACAUAAAGAGGCGAAUAUAGGGGAAUGUAAAAUUGUUAUUUAGGCCCUUAAUAUUUUUUAAAAUUUUAAAUUAGUAAAAGUGAAAUUACAUUUUGGCCUUAUAAAAUUAUAAAAAUUCAAUUUAAUCUUUUAAAAAUUAUAAAGAUAUAGACUACAAAAAAUUAAAAUCUCAUUCGAUCCACCCUAAAAAAUUAUUCGGGCUUCGCCACUGCUUACAUAAUAAACAUAUGGAAAAUACUUUUGGUGUAAUUCAAAUUUACCCCUUAUAGUCAAUUUAAUUUUCAUUUUUUUAAUUUAAUUUUCUAUCUUUUGGAAGAGUUGAAUUUAACUAUCAAUUUAAAUUAAUAUUUUUUAACGAAAAUAGUGACUAAAAUAUUAAAAUAUUAAACAUGACAACUCAAACGGCAAUCCACAUCUAUAUGUUUUUUUUAUUUAUUUCUUAUUUUUAAAUUAUUUAUUGAUGUGACAUAUAAUAAAAGUAUUGUUAUAUUAGCAUGAAGUACACAUGGAAGGCCACACGAGUUGUGACACCAAUAUCGUUAAAAAUUAAUAUUUUAGUUAGCAUAUCUGUUAAAGAAAAGCAAAUGAACUCUUUUUUCAAAGGUUAAUGGCUAAAUUUAGCUCAAAUGAAAAAAAAAAAAGGCCAAUUUGAUAAAAAAGGUAAAUGUCAAGAGUUAAGUUUAACAUUUAUACAAGUACAAAUAUAUGUCUGGAUUAAUCUAGAAAGAACAAGACAAACUCUACAGGUGAUAUACAAAUGUGAUGAGAGUGGAACCUGCACAUCACAAUUGAGAAUAAUAUUAUAGAACCUAAAUACUCAAAAACCUAAAACCUUCCCCUUAACCAAGAAGCUAAGACGCCAUGGAUAAUUUUAUAUCUACAACACUUAUGAAUUUCAUAUGCUUAAUAAUAGUUUACAAAAAGACAAGUAAAGAACACUUACUUCGGUUGAUGUAUGGUAUAAUAAGUCUGCAAAGCACUAAGAGUAAGUGCAGCAAUGGCACCCAAAAAUGCUAAAAACGUCCAAGGACUCCUAAAAUAAGUAUGAUAACCUUGAGCUGCAUGAUUAAUCCACAUAGUCUUACAAUGAUUAUGUAUUUUCUCUUUAACCCCACUGUAAAUUGUCGGACUAGGAACCAAAUCAGUGUUCAUCUUAUUGAAAAGCUUAGCCAUUUCUUCAUCACUGCCCAAUCCAUUGUAUAGUAUGCCGGAGUCUCUAAGGUCUUUAACAUCUUCGGCUUCAUCGAUCAAUAAAUCAAGGAAACACAUAUAUGAAGUGACGGUGAAAUCGUUGUCGAAAUCCGGACACAUUUCGUAAGCUAUUAAGUUCAUGGUUGAAUCAUCGACGGAGAUCGGCGGUAACCGUAAUUUUCCGAAGAAGAAGAUAUGGUUGAAACUGAUGUCGGUUAAAUUACUUGUUUCGCUGGCUUCUAACCAUAUCCCGGCCUUUUUAAGCUCUUUUACGUUACCAAUGGUGCGUGAAUGGUACCGUUUUGUUCUUUUUCUUCUUGCUGCUGCUUUGCCAAAUCCGUGUCGAGUGAAUUCCCAAAGAAAACACCAGCACCGUAUUCGUACUUUUCUGAGAAGGAGUCUUUCUCGUAGUAGAUGCAAUAAGUGAAUUCGCUCUCCUUCUUUUUGCUGCUUCCACCACCAUUCCCUACACCAAAAUCUGUGUUAGUCGGAAGCCAAGCUACAAUUUCUCUUUUCUCUUUUCUUUUUUUCUUUUUUGUUGUUAAUACAAAAAUAUUAAAAAUCAAUCUAUACUUGUUAAUCAAGUUGGUUGAAUAAAAAAUUAAAUAAAAUUGAAGUUAUACCAAUUGAAUUAAAGAAUGGAAUAAAUUUCUUUUUAUAUUUUUAAUAUUUUUAAAAAUUUAUAUAAUUAAACUGAAUUAACUAAUCAAAUGGAAAAGAGAGUCUAAUAGAUUCCAUCACCUAUGUAGUUAUAAAAACCUUUUAACAUUUAUAAACUCCACAAAAAUGAUUCUUUAUUUAAUUCCCUAAAUUACCUGUCCUCGCCUGGGUUGAUAACAGUUUCGUCGAUGAACCUUUGGAUUGCAUUCAUGAACUUUUUGCCAUCCCCCGAGCUUGUAAGCAAUUCAAGAACACGAAAAGGUAAUUGGUUUUCCAACAAGAACAGAUCCGAGUACACAAAUGUCAGCAAAUCGUCUUUAAUAAACAAUUUACCAUCAUCAUCAUCAUCAUCAUCAUCACCGUAACGCCUGUAAACUGCUUGUAAAAUUGCGCAGCCGUCAACGAAGAAAAUCCAAGCCAGUUUCUCGUUAUCGUUGCUAUAGUUCUCUAAUCCCUUUGGAUCAUAGCAUUUCUUUAACUCAUCGAUCUCUGUCUUCAUGUUGUUGUACAAGGUAUCCUUAUCGACGCCAAUUUUUUUGACGAAAAGUGCUGCUAAUUUGAGCUUGAGCUUCUCGGAUUUAUGGAAGGUGGGAUCAUCGUGGUGGAGUGGGCCGAUUGAGAUCACUUUCGGCUUGAAAUACUUACUGAAAUCUUCGUGACGACCAAGGGUUGAUGGGACUCUUUGUAUCAAUGGUUUGGCACGGAGGUCGAUUUCGUCGCCGUCGAAAGCUUCGUCUAAUGACCGGAGAUUCACUACUUCGCCAACGCUGAGAGGGACGUCCAUAUCAAUGCUCACGGAAUCGUUGUUGUCGGUGAUUGUUUGAUCAGUGGGAGCUGCUCCGACGGCGCCGCCUCCUUCCUCCGUGGAGGACAUUUUCAGGCUGAGCGGUUGGAAGUAAUAAACAAGGUGAUUUUGUAAACUGUUUUUGGCAGAGUGAGUGAUGUUGGAGAAAAGGUAGCAAAGUGGAUAAGAUGAUGACAAAUAUUUUGUAGCUUACAUGAUAAACAUAUAUGGGAAAUACUUAAGGCGUUAGUGUUUAUAUUUUUACUAAUAUAAACAAUGAUAAAAAAGAAAAGUUAAAUAGUGACAAAUACUAAAAUUGAGAAUAAUAUUAUGGAACCUAAAUACUCAACACUACUCAAAACCUUCGCCUUUAACCAAGAAACUAAGACCCUAUCUGAGGGAGAAUUUUAUAUCUACAACACUUCCUAAAUUUCAUUAGCUUAAUAAUAGCUAUUCAAAUAUAUUUUUUCAUUUUAUUACUGACUUUAAUAUUUAAAUUAUCAUUAUAUUGCAUGAUUUAUUCCAAAUAUUUACAUAUAGUAAUUGCAUUUGUAAUUCUACCUAACUAUGAAAAAUCUCAAAUUUGCAACAUGUUAUUCACAUGCCAACCAACCAAUAUAUUAUUCCUACCAACCAAUUUAUCAUUCACAUUCCAACUUUCUAAAUCCAUCAAAUAUUUCAUAUUCAUGUACUAACAAAGAUCAUGCCAAGAACCCACAUGCAAAGUCAUUGUAUAGUACCACAUUUAACUCAAUCGGACUUUUACACAACUAAAGAUUACUCCAAACGUUUAUAUGCAUGUCACAAUCCUUCACUCAAAAUGAUAAAAAAAACUAUUAAAUUGACGAUAAAAUAGUUUAAGCUUCGACCGAUUCAACCGACGUGUUCUAGCAUAUAAUAUGUUUAGUAAGCUCAUAUGGAAACUAAAACUUACCUAGAUCAAUUGAACAUAAAAAAUUACUCAAUAAGCUAUCGAAUUAAUUUUUCCCUGACACUUAUAUACAUAUAGUACAUCUAAUAAAAUUUCUGUUAAAGAAAAGCAAUUUGACUCUUUUUCUAAAAAGUUAAUAACUAAAUUUAGCUCAAAUAAAAAAAAAGAAUAAAAGUCAAUUUGAUAAAAAAUAUAAAUAUUAAAAAUUAAAUUUAUCAUUAUAUCUUUUUUAAGUAAUUAUUUGUGGUGAGCCAUCAUGUCUGACGAUGAUUUUUAAAUACUGUAUUAAUUAUAUAUAGCACAUCAUAUUUCACUAUAAUUUCUAUAGACUUUUUAAACAUGGGGUUAAUUGUUUAUGGCCCAUUGCCCAUGUUGCUUUUAUUAAAUUUUGGGUGAACUUCUCAUUUUGGUCAAAAAAAAAUUGUAUUCUCAGUAUAAAACAAAAAACUAAUCUUUAAUGUUUAUGGCCAAACCCCACCUCUCCUAUCCUAUAAUAAUGGUUCUUGGCUUCUUCUAUCCUACACCUCAAUUAUUUGGAUUAGAUUGAAAAACAAUUGACACUUGAUUUGAUUGUGAAAUAAAGUUAAAUUUUAAAUUUAUAAUAUUUAAUUUGAGUGUGAAUGAAUUUUUGACUUAAUUGAAAAUUUAAAAUUUUAAGUUCGAGUCGUAUUUAAUUAUGUGUGUAUAUCGUGUAUAAAUUUUGUUCAAAUUUAUUUUGAUUUAAUUUUCAUACUAUAUAUUCUUAAUUAAAUUCGGAAUAUAUUUUGAUUAUCAAUUUAACCAUACAUUGUAACGAUGGAUUAAAAUUAUAGUUAAUUAUAUAUUGAAACUAAAUAAUUAGUUUAAGGAAUUAAAAGAUAUUAUUAUAUUUUAUAAAAUUUGAAUAGAUUCAUAAUUAAUUCGAGAUUAAAAAAUGGGAGAAGAAAAGCUAAAACCAAACCUUUUUUACGGUUGGAACUAAACCCCAUGCGGUGUGGAAAAUUGCAAGUUUCCAGAAUAUACCUACACUUACUAAUUAUAAUAAAUAUCUUUUACUUAGUAAUAAUAAAUAAUAAAUAUAUAUUUACUAAUUAAAUAUAAAUAUUACAAAUGUACAUAUAUUUUGUUUACAAUUGUACAAUAUCAUCACCAUCCAUUUGGCAAAUUUGAUUUGUUCAUAUAAUGUUAAUUUAUAACUAAUAUAAAUUACCGUAUAAUAAAAUAAUUAUGUACAUUAUAAUUUAAUAAUAAUUAAACAAUAAAAAUCUUAGAUUUUUUAUCAACAUUUGCCGCCUCAUUUAUGGUGAAUGGUAUAUCUCCCAUUUUGGUCCCCCUUUCUUUUUAUUAAUUCUUUUUCCUAAUUUCUCCUAAUUAAGCUAAAUUCACUUAAUUAAAUCCUAAUUAAACACACAACUAGCCUCACAAAUAUUCUUAAUAAAACAUUUACAAACUCGGUUUACUAAGACAGAAGCCCUAUAACUCACUUUUUCGGUGCCCGUGAAUUUUGGGCCAUUACACAUUCUUCCGUGGAUAACAUUUUUAGGCUGAGCGGUUCGAAGUAAUUACCAAGGUGAUUUUGUAAACUGUUUUUGGCUAAGUGAGUGAUGUUGGUGAAAAGGUGGCAAAAUGGCUACAAUGUUUCUAUAGCUUAUAUAUAAUGAACAUACGGAAAAUAUUUUUGUGUAAUAUCAAAUUUAGCCCUUAAUAUUUAUAAUUUUACCAAUUUGAUUCUUAUUCUUUUUAGUUAAAUUUAAUUCUCUACCUUUUGAAAGUGUCAAAUUUUCUUGGCUGGAAGCUCACUGCAUGGAAGCCAAAAUCAAAACAAACUUUUGAUGGUUUAAUUGUUUUUGAGCCCUUCAAUUUCAGGUGCUAUGAGAAAUGGAUUACAACCUCAUCUUGUCGUUAUCCCAAAAUCAAAACAAGCAACUCUUGGUUGAAAGUUGAAACCAAGGGCCAAGUCAAAAUUGUUUUAGGAUGAGUCCAAAAUGAAUAAUGAAUUUGAAGGUUCAAAAUAAAAUUUUAUUAAUAUAUAAAUUUAUAAUUUCAUAAAUUUUAAAAGGAUUAAAUGAUAAAUUUACUAAUUUAAGAAGACAAUAGGGAUGGUCAAAUAUUCUAAUUGAACCUAUCUGCGAUCGGAUCGGGAUGGAUUUUUUUAAUUAAAAAAAUUAAAUAGAUUGAAUCGAAAUUCUAGGAGUUACAAAAUUCUCAUAAAUAACAAGAGUUUACAAAAAGUACACUUACUUUGGUUGAUGUAUGGUAUAAUAAGCCUGCAAAGCACCGAUAAAAAGUGCACCAAUGGCACCCACAAAUGCGAAAAACGUCCAACGAGUCCUAAAAAAAGUACGGUAAACUUGAGCUGGAUAUGUAAUCCACAUAUUGUUAUGAUGAUCAUGUAUUUGCAGUUUAACAUGUCUGUAAAUCAUCAGACUAGGAACCAAAUCCAUGUUCAUCUUCUUGAUAAGCUUAGCCACUUCUUUAUCACUCCCAAAUCCAUGGUAUAGUAUGCCUGCGUCUCUCAGUUCCUUAACAUCUUCGGCUUCAUCGAUCAAUGAAUCAAGGAAACCCAUAUAUGAAGUGACGGUGAAAUUGUUGUAGAAAUCCGGACAAUUUCGUAAGCUAUUAAGUUCAUGGUUGAAUCAUCGACGGUGAGAGGCGGUAACCGUAAUUUUCCGACGAAGAAGUAAUGGUUGAAACUGAUGUCGGUUAAACAACUUGUUUCGCUUGCUUCUAACCAUAUCCCGGCGUUUUUAAGCUCUUUUACGUUACGAAACGGGUGUGAAUGGUGAGGUUUUAUUCUUGUAUGGUUUCUGCGAUUUGUGAAGGAUAUGCAAAACCUAGAAGGCCAUGGUUUUUCUUUUUUGAAAAGGAGUCUUACUCGUAGUAGAUGCAAUAAGUGAAUUGGCUCUUUAUUUUUUUCUUGCAGCUGCUGCCACCAUUCACUAGAGCAAAAUCUGUGUUAGUCGGGAGCAAGCUAAAAUUAAGGUUUUCAAUGGUUGAAUCAAAUCAUUAUUAUUUAAUAAAAAAUUAUUUAAAUUAUUAAAUUACAUUUUAAUCCUUUUAAAAAUUAUUAAAUUAUAAAUUUGUAUACAAUAAAAUUAUAUUUUGACUCCUCAAAAUGAAUAAAAAAUUGUUUAAACACUUUUAAAAAAUGAUGACAUCAUAAAUUAAUGCAAAAAAAAAAUCUAAGAAUUAAACCAAACUUGUCUAUCGGCCUAAUUAAACAGAGAAUCAAGCAAGGUACUAAUCCAGAAUAAUAAAUUAAAUCCAUUGAAUCUAAUCAUCAAAUCGAUUUUUUUUAUAUUUUUAAUAUAUCUUUAAUAUUUUUAAAAUUUUAUAUAAUUGAAUCGAAUAAACUAAUCAACCAAAAAUGAGACUCUAAUGGAUUGUAUCACCUAUAUAUGUAGUUGUAAAAAUCCUUUUAACAUUUAUAAACUCCACAAAUUGAUUCAUUUAUAAAUUCCUUAAAUUACCUGUCCUGCUGAUGUGAUUGUGGGUCUUUAACAGUGCCGUUGAUGAACCUUAUGAUUGCCUCCAUGAAUUUUGUGCCAUCCUUCGAUCUUGUAAGCAAUUCAAGAACACGAAAAGGUAAUUGGUUUUCCAACAAGAACAGAUCCGAGUACACAAAUGUUAGCAAUUCGUUUUUAAUAGAAAAUUCGUUCGACGUACGACAACGAUCUUGGCCGUAAAGCAUAUAAACUGCUUGUAAAAUUGCGCAGCCGUCAACGAAGAACAUCCAAGCCAGUUUCUCGUUAUCGUUGCUAUAGUUCUCUAAUCCCUUUGGAUCAUAGCAUUUCUUUAAGCCAUCGAUCUCUGUCUUCAUGUUGUUGUACAAGGUAUCCUUAUCGACGCCAAUUUUUUUAACGAAAAGUGCUGCUAAUUUGAGCUUGAGCUUCUCGGAUUUAUGGAGGGUGGCAUCAUCGUGGUAGAAUGGGCCGAUUGAGAUCACUUUCGGCUUGAAAUACUUACUGAAAUCUUCGUGACGACCAAGGGUUGAUGGGACUCUUUGUAUCAAUGGUUUGGCACCGAGGUCGAUUUCGUCGCCGUCGAAAGCUUCGUCUAAUGACCGGAGAUUCACUACUUCGCCAACGCUGAGAGGGACGUCCAUAUCAAUGCUCACGGAAUCGUUGUUGUCGGUGAUUGUUUGAUCAGUGGAAACUGCUCCGACGGCGCCGCCUC